GGAGAUGCUAUACUUCAUGGGAUGUUGGAACAAAAUUAUUUAAAACCUGCUAUGUCGUGUUGUCUUGUUAAGUGCGUCUAUUUUGGAGUCAGUUUUUCCCAUCAUCGAACUUCUGGAUAGUGUCAGCUAGGUGUAUAAGAAUUCUUAUUAUUGUUAUUGUGCACUAAUCUACAAGCAGGGGCGCUUGUCUUUUGCUCGUUUACUUCUGUAUUUGGUUAAGCACUCGUUUACUCUAUUCGAUAUUCCUGAACAUCACUCCCUACCUCGUACUGGUCUCUGAGGGCGCGUACAACAAUCCACCGUGAGUAGACCUAGUAUCUUAGCAUUCGGGGUGCCACAAUCUACAUACAAAAUCGGUAAAUUUUACACUACAAACAGUAUAAUUUUGUCGAAACACGAUCAUAAUUUCCACUGGAGCAUGAAGUAAUCAAGUUACUAGGAUUUGUGAUGAGCUGGAGAGAGAAAAAAGAAAGAGUAGUCUGCUGGUAAACUGGUUGGUUCAAAGAACGAUAGCCAGCUUCUUAAGUCUGUUCUUUUAUUAGUAGCUCAGCGGUCGGUUGUUAACUGACUUGUUGUAGGUUCGUGUCGUACACAUGACAACAAACUCCUGUAGUAUGCUGCCUGCUCUUCAAAACCAAACUUAGCUUGGCGAAGGACACAAUUACAAUUGUCCAAAAGCAAAAUUACAACAUCUACGGCCGGGCGCCUCAAACCGGUCUCAAACGCCCGGACUGACUAGCAUCCCUCAUAUCCGGCACCAUUUUAGGACGGAUAUGAGGCGGCCCGGGAUGCGUCUGCCACGUCGGAUUGAUGUUUGGGUCUCAUACGAAAUCGCUCGGAAACCCAACAAUCCAAUGAGCGUCUGGGCUAUUUAAGCCGGACAUCGACCCCCAGCACUAGGCACAUCCACUUCUCUCGCUCUCCGCGCCGCCAACCCGAUCCGCUCUCUGCUCGAUCUUUGCGACAGCCAUGGCCCGACAGAGGGUGACCACCUACGCUAUGCUAGCGUCGGAGAGGCGCCUCCAGCUGCUAGAGGAGAUUAGGGCUUGGCUCGAAGCCCGGAUUGUAGUCGGCUUGCCUCGGGACUCGUUGGAGCCGAAGGAGGAGCAACAACAAUCGUAGGCGGGGCAGUACCCCCAAACCAUGGAGGGGCAGAUCUGGAGGAGGAGCAGCGACAGUCGGAGUCAGAGUAGUACCCCUAGCCCAUGGAGGGGCGGAUUCGGAGGAGGAGGACGCGGUGGAGCCGGAGGGGGAGGCGGAGCCACCUGUGGGUUUUGCCAUUGAGGAGACCAUGACAGAGUCCGAGGUCGCCCAAGCGGAGGAGGCGGCGGAGCGCCAUCCUGGAGUCCAUCCAGCAGAAGCCUCGGUGGAGGUCAACCGGCGCUUCCAGCGCUUCCUCAGGCAGCAGAGGGUGGAGAUCGACGAAAUCUUCACCUCUAGUGAGUCCCACGACGAGCAGAGGGUGGAGAUUUACUUCACAUCUCACUGAAUGUAUCGACGUGCACACAACCAUAUCAAACCUCAUAUUAAUCCUAGGUUAGCAAGAGUACAUGCACCUCCACUAACCAUAGAAACAAUGCAUGAUUUGUUAUGACAUUUGUUCUAAGAAUACGACACAAUUGAUCACAUAAUAACUUACCAGAUACGAAUGAACUAAUCAGGAAGAACCCAUCCAUUGGCAAAGCGGGGGGGGGGGGCACUGCCCCCAGCCUUUGACCAAAUGGUGAAAGAAAAAAUGAGGAGGGCUCAGGUUUUCUUUAUAAAUGUACCAGGAAAGCAUUUUAACCACGCUUGGCAUUUCAGUUUUAUGGCAAGGAAGAAAACCAGGUAGUAGCAAGGGAGUUGUCUUAACCCGCCGACCAAGUAGCUGUAUAAUAUGUUCAGUGGCUCAGUCAAUGGCUUAUUUCCAAUUGAAAAAAGGAACAUCACAUUAUUCAAACAGAACUGAAUUUCAAGUCAAAUUUAGGACUUCCCUAAAAAAGGACCAAAUGUAGGAGCUUACCACAAAGGCGCUUUGUGAGAAAACAAGUCAAGGAGCGGGUACUACCUGCCAAAAUUCACCGCAUUGAGUGAGUGACAUAAUUCUUUGGAAGUAUCUAAACAAUGGACCUUGCUAGGAAGCAAGUUCUUGCCCUUUAGGUGUAUCCAGCGGCCCCCUAUUUUAGGUAUGUGACACCCUUAGCGAUUCGGUUGGAUAACGAAGGUAUUACUACCAUUUCCUCAAGGUCGCGAUACCGGAGCAGUACCCCCAGGCCAUGGAGGGGAGGAUCCAGAGGGGGAGCAGCGACAGUCGGAGGCGGAGUAGUACCCCCAGCCCAUGGAGGGGCGGAUCUGGAGAAGGAGGACGCGGUGAAGCCGGAGUGGGAGGCGGAGCCGGCUGCGACCUUUGCCAUUGAGGACACCAUGACAAAGUUCGAGGUCACCCAAGUGAAGGACGCGGCGGAGCAGACCCCCAUCCUGGAGUCCAUCCAGCAGAGGCCUCGGUAGAGGUCAACCGGCGCUUCCUCCGACUCCAGAGGGUGGAGAUCGACGAAAUCUUCACCUCUAGUGAGUCCACGAUGAGCCGAAGUUGCCGUAGGCAGCCAUCUACCCGAAGCCUGACACGGAUGUCGUGGACAUCUCGAUGAUGAGUAGCGUAGGGUAGAUAGGAUAUAUACGUAGUACGUUGGUUUUUAUUUUGCAUGGUUUGUAUGGAUUUGAGAUAUAGACUAUGGGGUAUUUAGAUGGAGCAAACAAACUUUGAGAUGUGACCGACAACUUUUUGCAAACGCCCCCAACCUAUGACCAAAUGGUGAAGGAAAAAAUGAGGAGGGUACUGCCUCAGCCUUUGACCAAAUGGUGAAGGAAAAAAUGAGGAGGGCUCAAGUUAAAAAAAUCACACAAUAGAUAUUCUUUUAAACGUACCAGGAAAACAUUUUAACCACGCCUAGCGUUUCAGUUUUAUGGCAAGGACAAUAACCAGGUAAAAAACCCAGGUAGUAGCUAGGGAGUUGUAUUAUACCUGCCAGCAAAUGCCUGCAAAAUAUGUUCGGUGGCUCAUUUCGAAUUGAAAAAAGGAAUAUCCCACUGUUCAAACAUAACUGAAUUUCAACUCAAAUUUAGCACUUCCCUAAAAAAGGACCAAAUGUAGGAGCUUACCACAAAGGCGCUUUGUGAGAAAACAAGUCAAGGAGCGGGUACAACUACCUGCCAAAAUUCACCUCAUUGACUCAGUGACAUAAUUCUUUGAAAGUACCUAACAAUGGACCUUGCUAGGAAGCAAGGGCCUGCCCUUUAGGUGUAUCCAGCGGCCUCCUAUUUUAGGUAUGUGACGCCCUUUGCGAUUCGGUUGGAUAACGAAGGUAUUACUACCAUUUCCUCAAGGUCGCGAUAGCGGAGUAGUACCCUCAAGCCAUGGAGGGGCGGAUCCGGAGGGGGAGUAGUGGCAGUCGGAGGCGGAGUAGUACCCCCAGCCCAUGGAGGGGCGGAUCUGGAGGAGGAGGACGCGGUGGAGCUGGAGUGGAAGGCGGAGCCGGCUGCGGGCUUUGCCAUUGAGGACACCAUGACAGAGUUCGAGGUCGCCCAAGCGGAGGAGGCGGCGGAGCGGAUCGCCAUCCUAGAGUCCAUCCAGCAGAGGCCUCGGUGGAGGUCAACUGGUGCUUCCUCCAGCAGCAGAGGGUGGAGACAGAUGAAAUCUUCACCUCUAGUGAGUCCCACGAUGAGCCGAAGUUGCCACAGGCGGCCAUCUACCGGAAGCCUGACACGGAGGUCAUGGACAUCUCGAUGAUGAGUAGGGUAGGGUAGAUAAGAUACAUACGUAGUACAUUGCUUUUUAUUUUGCAUGAUUUGUAUGAAUUUGAGAUAUAGACUAUAAGGUAUUUGGAUGGAGCAGACGAACUUUGAGAUGUGACCGACAACUGUUCGUAAAUGCCCCCAACCUAUGACCAAAUGGUGAAGGAAAAAAUGAGGAGGGCACUGCCCCCAACCUUUGACCAAAUGGUGAAGGAAAAAAAUGAGGAGGGCUCAGGUAAAAAAGAAUAUCACACAAUAGAUAUUCUUUAUAAACGUACCGGGAAAACAUUUUAACCAUGCCUGGCGUUUCAGUUUUAUGGCAAGGACAAAAACCAGGUAGUAGCAAGGGAGCUGUAUUAAAUCUGCCAGCAAAUGCUUGCAAAAUAUGUUCAGUGGCUCAUUUCCAAUUGAAAAAAAGGAACAUCCCAUUGUUCAAACAGAACUGAAUUUCAACUCAAAAUUAGGACUUUCCUAAAAAAGGACCAAAUGUAGGAGCUUACCACAAAGGCACUUUGUGAGAAAACAAGUCAAGGAGCGGGUACAACUACCUGCCAAAAUUCACCUCAUCGAGUCUGUGACAUAAUUCUUUCAAAAUAUCUAAACAAUGGACCUUGCUAGGAAGCAAGUGCUUGCCCUUUAGGUGUAUUCAACAGCCUCCUAUUUUAGGUAUGUGAGGCCCUUUGCGAUUCGGUUGGAUAAUGAAGGUAUUACUACCAUUUCCUCAAGGCCGCGAUAGUGGACUGCAACCUCUUGAGCUUGCGUUGGUUUUCCCUUGAAGAGGAAAGGGUGAUGCAGCAAAGUAGAGUAAGUAUUUCCCUUAGCUUUUGAGAACCAAGGUAUCAAUCCAGUAGGAGACAACGCGCAAGCCACCGAAUACCUGCACAAACAAACACCAACUUGCACCCAACGCGAUAAAGGGGUUAUCAAUCCCUUCACGGUUAUUUGCAACGUGAGAUCUGAUAGAGAUGGAUAAACGGUAAAGUAAUAUUUUUGGUAUUUUUGGUUUAUGGAACGAAAAGUAAAAGAUUGCAAAGAAAGUAAAUAGGAAACUAAAAUUAUAGAUCGGAAACUUAUAUGAUGGAAAAUAGACCCGGGGGCCAUAGGUUUCACUAGAGGCUUCUCUCAAGAUAGAAAUUAUUACGGUGGGUGAACAAAUUACUGCCGAGCAAUUGAUAGAAAAACGCAAAGUUAUGACGAUAUCUAAGGCAAUGAUCAUGAACAUAGGCAUCACGUCCGUAUCAAGUAGACUGACUCCUUCCUGUAUCUACUACUAUUACUCCACACAUCGACCGCCAUCCAGCAUGCAUCUAGAGUAUUAAGUUCAUAAAGAACGGAGUAACGCCUUAAGCAAGAUGACAUGAUGUAGAGGAAUUAACUCAAGCAAUAUGAUGAAAACCCCAUGUUUUUAUCCUCGAUGGCAAGAAUACAAUACGUGUCGGUUCCCCUUCUGUCACUAGGAUCGAGUACCGCAAGAUUGAACCCAAAGCUAAGCACUUCUCCCAUUGCAAGAAAAGCCAAUCUAGUUGGCCAAACCAAAUCGAUAGUUCGAAGAGACUUGCAAAUAUAUCAAAUCAUGCAUAUAAGAAUUCAGAGAAGAUUCAAAUAAUAUUCAUAAAUAAGCUGAUCAUAAAUCCACAAUUCAUCGGAUCUCGGCAAACACACCGCAAAAGAGUAUUACAUCGAAUAGAUCUCCAAGAACAUCGAGGAGAACUUUGUAUCGAGAAUCAAAGAGAGAGAAGAAGCAAUCUAGCUACUAGCUAUGGACCCGUAGGUCUGUGGUAAACUACUCACGCUUCAUCGGAGAGGCAAUGAUGUUGAUGUAGAAGCCCUCCGUGAUCGAAUCCCCCUCCGGCAGGAUGCCGGAAAAGGCCCCUAGAUGGGAUCUCACGGGUACAGAAGGUUGCGGCGGUGGAAAAGUGGUUUCUUGGCUCCCCUGGAAGUUUUUGGGAUAUUUGAGAAUAUAUAGGAGGAAGAUCUAGGUCAGGGGGUCACCGAGGGGCCCACAAGGUCGGGGGGCGCGCCCUCCACCCUUGUGGCCGCCUCGUGGCUCUUCUAACUUGCACUCCAAGUCUCCUGGGUGUCUUCUGGUCCAAGAAAAAUCAUCACGAAAGUUUUAUUCUGUUUGGACUCUGUUUGGUAUUCCUUUUCUGCGAAACUCUAAAACAAGGAAAAAAACAUGAACUGGCAUUGGGCUCUAGGUUAAUAGGUUAGUCCCAAAAAUCAUAUAAAAUAGCAUAUUAAUGCAUAUAAAACAUCCAAAACAGAUAAUAUAAUAGCAUGGAACAAUAAAAAAUUGUUGAUACGUUGGAGACGUAUCAAGCAUCCCCAAGCUUAAUUCCUGCUCGUCCUCGAGUAGGUAAAUGAUAAAGAUAGAAUUUUUGAUGUGGAAUGCUACCUAACAUAUUUAUCCAUGUAAUUAUCUUUAUUGUGGCAUGAAUGUUCAGAUCCGUAAGAUUCAAAACAAAAUUUUAAUAUUGACAUAAAAACAAUAAUACUUCAAGCAUACUAGCAAAAUAAUUAUGUCUUCUCAAAAUAACAUGGCCAAAGAAAGCUUAUCCCUACAAAAUCAUAUUGUCUGGCUAUGCUCCAUCUUCAUCACACAGAAUAUUCAAAUCAUGCACAACCCCGAUGACAAGCCAAGCAAUUGUUUCAUACUUUUGAUGUUCUGAAACUUUUUCAACUUUCACGCAAUACAUGAGCGUGAGCCAUGGACAUAGCACUAUAGGUGGAAUAGACAAUGGUUGUGGAGAAGACAAAAGGAAGGAGAUAGUCUCACAUCAACUAGGCAUAUCAACGGGCUAUGGAGAUGCCCAUUAAUAGAUAUCAAUGUGAGUGAGUAGGGAUUGCCAUGCAACGGAUGCACUAGAGCUAUAAGUUUAUGAAAGCUCAAAAGAAAACUAAGUGGGUGUGCAUCCAACUUGCUUGCUCACGAAGACCUAGGGCAUUUUGAGGAAGCCCGUCAUUGGAAUAUACAAGCCAAGUUCUAUAAUUAAAAAUUCCCAUUAGUAUAUGAAAGUGAUAUCAUAGGAGGCUCUCUAUCAUGAAGAUCAUGGUGCUACUUUGAAGCACAAGUGUGGUAAAAGGAUAGUAGCAUUGCCCCUUCUCUCUUUUCUCUCAUUUUUUUAUUUGGGCCUUCUUUAUUUUUUGGCCUGUUUUUUUCGUCCGGAGUCUCAUCCCGGCUUGUGGGGGAAUCAUAGUCUCCAUCAUCCUUUCCUCACAUGGGACAAUGCUCUAACAAUGAAGAUCAUCACACUUUUAUUUAGUUACAACUCAAAAAUUACAAGUCGAUACUUAGAACAAAAUAUGACUAUAUGUAUGCCUCCGGCGGUGUACCGGGAUGUGCAAUGAAUCAAGAGCGACAUGUAUAAAAAAUGAUGAACGGUGGCUUUGCCACAAAUACGAUAUCAACUACAUGAUCAUGCAAAGCAAUAUGACAAUGAUGAAGCGUGUCAUAAUAAACGGACCGGUGGAAAGUUGCAUGUUAAUAUAUCUCGGAAUGUGGAAAUGCCAUAAUAGGUAGGUAUGGUGGCUGUUUUGAGGAAGGUAUAAGGUGGGUGUAUGGUACCGACGAAAGUUGCGCGGUACUAGAGAGGCCAGCAAUGGCAAAAAGGUGAGAGUGCGUAUAAUCCAUGGACUCAACAUUAGUCAGAAAGAACUCACAUACUUAUUGCAAAAAUCUAUUAGUCAUCGAGACAAAGUACUACGCGCAUGCUCCUAGGAGGAUAUAUUGGUAGGAAAAGACGAUCGCUCGUCCCCAACCGCCACUCAUAAGGAAGACAAUCAAUAAAUAAAUCAUGCUCUGACUUCAUCACAUAACGGUUCACCAUACGUGCAUGCUACGGGACUCACAAACUUUAACACAAGUAAUGCUCAAAUUCACAACUACUCACUAGCAUGACUCUAAUAUCACCAUCUUCAUAUCUCAAAACAAUCAUAAGGAAUCAAACUUCUCAUAGUAUUCAAUGCACUUUAUAUAAAAGUUUUUAUUAUAUCCCUCUUGGAUGCCUAUCAUAUUAGGACUAAUUUUAUAACCAAAGCAAAUUACCAUGUUGUUUAGAGACUCUCAAAAUAAUAUAAGUGAAGUGCGAGAGUUCAUCAAUUUCUAUAAAAUAAAACCAUCGCCAUGCUCUAAAAAGAUAUAAGUGAAGUACUAGAGCAAAUUUGCCUAGCUCAAAAGAUAUAAGUGAAGCACAUAGAGUAUUCUAAUAAAUCACGAUUCAUGCGUGUCUCUCCCAAAAGGUGUGUACAACAAGGAUGAUUGUGGUAAACUAAAAAACAAAGACUCAAAUCAUACAAGACGCUCCAAGCAAAACACAUAUCAUGUGGUGUAGAAAAAUAUAGCCUCAAGUAAAGUUACCGAUAGACGAAGACGAAAGAGGGGAUGCCUUCCGGGGCAUCCCCAAACUUAGGCUCUUGGUUGUCCUUGAAUAUUACCUUGGGGUGCCUUGGGCAUCCCCAAGCUUAGGCACUUGCCACUCACUACUGGAAUCAGGAUCUUUGCUGUCAGCCUGUUCUUUUCUGCCCGCUAGCUAACGGCAAAGAAGGUCUUUGCCAUAUGCAUACACAAGGCUGACGACAAAGAACAAGCGGACGACAAAGAGCUUGUUUUCCGUCAGCAAGCUCUUUGCCGUCCACUAGCAGACGCCAUAGAAGCUUUGCCGUCUGCUAGCGGACGACAAAGAGGGAGGGUGGCCCACUUGUUGUCAACCCCUAACGGGGCCCCUCUUUGCCGUCCACUAGCAGACGGCAAAGUUUUCUAUGCCGUCCGCUAGAUGACGGCAAAGAGCUUGCGGACGACAAAGCUUGAAAAUUGACUUAACGGCCGUGCCCCGCCAUCGCCCUCUCUCUCUGUCUCUCUUCUCUUUCUUCCACCCGUGCCACCCCGCGUCGUCGCCGCUGCACCCUCCCCGCGCUGUCGCCGCACCCUCCCCGCCCCGUGNNNNNNNNNNNNNNNNNNNNNNNNNNNNNNNNNNNNNNNNNNNNNNNNNNNNNNNNNNNNNNNNNNNNNNNNNNNNNNNNNNNNNNNNNNNNNNNNNNNNNNNNNNNNNNNNNNNNNNNNNNNNNNNNNNNNNNNNNNNNNNNNNNNNNNNNNNNNNNNNNNNNNNNNNNNNNNNNNNNNNNNNNNNNNNNNNNNNNNNNNNNNNNNNNNNNNNNNNNNNNNNNNNNNNNNNNNNNNNNNNNNNNNNNNNNNNNNNNNNNNNNNNNNNNNNNNNNNNNNNNNNNNNNNNNNNNNNNNNNNNNNNNNNNNNNNNNNNNNNNNNNNNNNNNNNNNNNNNNNNNNNNNNNNNNNNNNNNNNNNNNNNNNNNNNNNNNNNNNNNNNNNNNNNNNNNNNNNNNNNNNNNNNNNNNNNNNNNNNNNNNNNNNNNNNNNNNNNNNNNNNNNNNNNNNNNNNNNNNNNNNNNNNNNNNNNAGCCCCUGCCCCUGUUUUCUUUUAUGUUUUUUUUCUAUUUUUCUUUUCUGUUUAGUUUAGGUUAUUUAGUUUAAGUUUUUUUAGUUUAGGUUAUUUAGUUUAAUUAGUUUAGGUUAUUUAGUUUAAAUAGUUUAGGUUUAAUUAGUUUAGGUUAUUUAGUUUAGGUUUAGGUUUAGGUUUAAUUAGUUUAGGUUUAAUUAUAUUAGAUUAGUGUUAGGUUUGAGUUAAAUAGUCAUAAUUAAAGGAACUGAAAAAAAAGAUGAAAAAAAGAAGAAAAGUAGAAUAAGUAGAAAGGGGGAAGAAAAAGAGGAAGAAGAAGAAGAAGAAGAGGAGGAGGAGGAGGGAAGAAGAAAAUGAGGAGAAGAUGACUAGGUUAGUUAGGUUAGUUUGAUUUUCUAGGUUAGUUAUCUUUAGACUAGGUUAGUUAGGUUAGUUAGGUUAAUUAGUUUGAGGGGUUUUGGUGAUGUCAUCUUGUUCUCCAAGAGAUGAUACUUGGCAAGAUAAUCAAAUAUGGCAUUUUUUACAUGCUAGAAUUUUCUUGGAAUUUAUAGAGAAUAUUUCCUAUGUAAAUAUUCCAAAUGAUUGAAAUAUCAGAAAAGGGUUUUUGAUGGAUUUGACCAAUAUUUUGAAACACUAAAAUAAUUUUAACCUAUUAAAGACCAUUUCUGGCCUUAAGAAAAAGCCUUUAAUUAGUUAGUUAGUUAUUUUUUAGGUUAGUUACUUAGUUAGUUAGUUAAUUUUUUAGGUGUUGUUUUCACCCACCAAUUUUUUUGUAUGUUUAUGUUGUACUAAUUUUGUUUACUCUUUGUCAUUACAGGUGUUGAUAGAUGGUGGGCGCGGGUCGAGAGCGCUCCGAGCCUCCUUCUUCCUAUGCGCGUGCUGGGGGGGUGGCUAUAUUCCACCCCAGCAACUUUGUAGAGUGCUCGUAGACAACAUGGCGACACCGGCGGACCCUUCUUCUUCGGCCGGGAGAGGUCGGGGGAAGAUGAAGAGGGGAUCUAGAGGUGGACGUGGCGGCGGGAGAGGUAGGAAGGCUGUUGUGCCUUCCUUGCUGCCAUCCAAAGCUGAUUCUCUGGACCACCGGAGUGCUCCGUCUCAGGUGGAGCCGUCAGACUUGGACCCGUCUCGGACUCCGGUCCAUGAGCCUCGGGCUGACGAGCCUCGUGUCACCGAGCCUUCGUCCCAGGAGACUCAGGCCCCAGAGUCUUCGUCCCACGAGACUCCGGUCCCAGAGUCUUCGUCCGAGGUGACUCCGGAGACUAGUGGCCACGCUGAUGGCGAGGAGACCUGGUCUGACGAUAGUUUUAGCAAUGGCGAGCUGGUUGAGCAGGGCAAGAAGGUCUACCAGCAUGGUGGUACGAAGCUCCCGGCCGUGCCGGCGACCCGUGAUCAGAGGUGGUUGAUUCAGCCUAACGGGGAGAAAUAAGUGCAUUUACUCUAUUUUAACCUUUGUUCUGCAUGUUUCUUCAAAUUAAUAUCUAAUGUGUUGGCCUUGUCAUACUGCAGGGGUUGGAUACACCCCGAUGGUGUCCGUAGGCCCAACCAGCUCCUUGGUACUCUAGUCCGGCACCACUUCAGGGGUGGGUCACGUUGCCCAGUGAGGGUCAGGCUCCACAGCUAGCAAUGAGCUGGGAGUUGUACGUGGCUGCCCCGGCCCCGCCAGAGGAGAGGGUCGACAGUGUCGUGUGCGAGGCGGUGGCCGACAUUGUGAGGCAGCGGUUUUGGGUAAUUUCUACUUUACAGAAUUAAAAAUCAACAUUACCUAGUGAUUGUACUAAUCAGUGUUGUCUUGUUCAAUUGCAGACCUUCUACAGGGUUGCUGAGGAACACGAGGCGGAGGCGGCUAGGGUUCUCGAAGCCGAGUGCAAGCGCCUACUUCAGAACUUACGGCACAAGGCUAGGGUGCAGGCUGUUCGAGACUACUACGCCUCGACUAACAUUAGGAGGGCCAAGAAGAAGUGCUGCGCGCAAGUAUCUGAGCAAGGAGAAGUACAUGAAGGUAAUUACCUAUUCUUAAGGCCUUGUACUUAGUUUCCUUGAUUUCAUUCGUAGGCGUAGCGCUGAAAUUUCUCUUUGCCAAACUUAGGUGCCCCCAAGAUGGUGUGCGGAUAAGAUGGACUGUUGGGAGGCGUUGGUGGAUGAGUGGUUCUCUCCCCAAUGGCUAGCCGAACACAACAAGGCCAGGGAUAAGCGUUCCCAAAUGCGAGGUGUGCCACACCAUCAAGGGAGCUCGAACCUGUUUGAGUACGGGGAUCACCGGGUAUGUGGUUUCAUCCCUUAACGAUUCAUGCAAUUUCAUUCUUCAUGCUAGCUUCAGCCCUUAACUAAUAUGUUGUUCCUCUCUUUUAGGCUAAACACAACAAGAAGGAACUGCCACCACUGUACGACCUCUAUGCCAUGGCCCAUAUGGCCCCGUUCAAGAAGGCCAAGGCAUUCUCUGAGGAUGACCUCGAUCAUCCAGAGAGCUUCACCAACAUCUCCUCCCACAACAAGCUCGUGAGGUACAGAGACUUUGGAAGGCAACGAAAGGGGAUGACUUCAACCCGAGCCAGAGUCCUUUUGAUACAGAGCUCGUGAUGCUAUCUGGUGAUGGGAGAAAACAUGGCUUGGUAGCCAUUGGGGAUGGACUGAUACGGCGUCCUAGUAGUCUCCCGGAGAUCAAGAAGCGCCACGCGAGAUCUCUUCCUGACAUACUGCCUCGACCACAGCCAGUGGACCUCACCAUUGAUGCUAGGGCCCAGGAGCUUCUGGCGGAGGCAAACAUGUAGGCCAAGGAGAGGGAGACCGAGCUGGAGCAGAGGACGGCUAGGAUGCUGCAGGAGGAGAGGAACCGCGUCUCACCGAGCCCUAUACGAGCUCUUCGUGGUAAGUUUCUCCUGCUUAUUAGCCAAAUCAUGCAUGUAAUGUUCGUUUCAUUACUAACUAAUAUGACUGACUCAUGAAAUCAAAAUGUGCAGUCCAUGUGCGAGAAAAACGGUCAGACCCCUCCGCCGAUGCCUCAGAUUGGUAUAGCGGACACGGUGAGUUUCAUUUGAAUGGUCAUUAGUUACUAGUAUUCACAUUUCAGUUGCAUCAUGCUAACGAGACAUUGCAAAUGAUCUUUGGUGCAGCAUGCCUCCUGACAAGCAUCGACCGAUCCUUCUCCAUCUCGCACUGGUGCAAGCCCGACCGGUCCUUCUCCGUAUGACACUGGCGUAAACCCGACCGGCCCUUCACCUCCGUGAUGACGGUAACAUUUCUCUAGUGUUUUGCCUACCAAAUGCAUAAAGACCUAGACUUAGCUUUAUUUCCUCCUAAAUGGUUACCAUAAUGACAUAGACUUAGCCAAUCUUCCUACAAAAUGACAUAAUUAGCUUACUUAGCUCCAAAAUGAUCUAUACUUAACUAAAUUAGCUCUAAUAUGCUUAUUUACCUAGGUUAGCUAAAUAAAGACCUAUACUUAGAUUACUUAUGUCAAAAAUGGCAUAAUAUGCUUAGUUAACGCAUAAUUAGUUAAAUUAGCUCCAAAAUGACCCAUUUUACCUAGGUUUGCUCCAAUAUGAUCCAUUUUACCUAGGUUAGCUCCAAAAUGAGCAAGUUUACCUAGGUUAGCUCCAAUAUGAUCCAUUUUACCUACGUUAGCUCCAAUAUGAUCCAUUUUAGCUAGGUUAGCUCCAAAAUAAUCCAUUCUACCUACGUUAGCUCAAAAAUGGCAUAAUCACUUAUGUUAGCACAAAAAUGACCUACACUUACCUUAAUUUCCUCCAAAUUGACAUAAUAAGCUUAGUUAGCUAAAAAAUGGCAUAAUUACCUAUGUAAGCUCUAAAAUGACACAAAUAAGGAAUAAGAAGAAGAAAAACAAGGAAGAGGAGAAAAAGAAAGAAUAAUAGAAGAAGAAAGAAUAAAAGAAGAAGAAAGAAUAAAAGAAGAAGAAUGAGAAGGAAAAGGGUAAAAAUCUUCUUCUUCUUGCUUACUCCCAUUUUUGCAGAUUUGAUUCACUUCAUGGAAGCUGGUUUGAUGGACUGCUAGUUUUAAUUUCUGUUUUGAUUUUGUGUUGAUAAACAAUCUAUGUCGAAUAACUCCGUGAAACUAUGUAUGUAUGUUGAUGAACUCCGUGAAACUAUGUAUGUAUUGGACUUUUUAAUACCCUAUGUGUUCUGUUGCAUUGAUGGACUGCUAGAUGAUGGAUACAUGGGCUAUGUGUGAGGUUGAAACUAUAUAUAUAUAAUUUAUGUCUUUUGAAAAUGCAAGGAUAUAACAAAAAACAGAAAAAACAGGGGCUAUAUAGGCUCUUUGCCGUCGGCUGGCAGGCAACAAAGAGCUUUGCCAUCAGCCAGCAGACGGCAAAGCUGCCACGUGGCAGCUACCUGUACAACCUGGGGCACUGGCUGGCCUAUUUGGUUAUUUUGCCGUCCGCUGGCAGAUGGCAAAGAGCGUUGCACCUUUGCCGUCUGCCAACGGACGACAUAGCUUGACACAUGGCAGUACCUGGGGGAAAUGGUUCUAAAUUCAAUGUGAUCGCCGUCGGCACGCUACCUUUACAUCUACCAUCGGGAUUAGUUUUAGACCUGAAUAAUUGUUAUUUGGUGCCAGCGUUAAGCAUGAACAUUAUAUCUGGAUCUUGUUUGAUGCGAGACGGUUAUUCAUUUAAAUAAGAGAAUAAUGGUUGUUCUAUUUAUAUGAGUAAUAUGUUUUAUGGUCAUGCACCCUUGAUGAGUGGUCUAUUCUUGUUGAAUCUCGAUUGUAGUGAUACACAUAUUCAUAAAAGCCAAAAGAUGCAAGGUUAAUAAUGACAGUGCAACUUAUUUUUCGCACUGCCGUUUAGGUCAUAUUGCUGUAAAGCGCAUGAAGAAACUCCAUGCUGAUGGGCUUUUGGAAUCACUUGAUGCUUGCGAACCAUGCCUCAUGGGCAAGAUGACUAAGACUCCGUUCUCCGGAACAAUGGAGCGAGCAAUAGACUUAUUGGAAAUAAUACAUACUGAUGUAUGCGGUCCGAUGAGUGUUGAGGCUCGCGGCGGGUAUCGUUAUUUUCUAACCUUCACAGAUGAUUUGAGCAGAUAUGGGUAUAUCUACUUGAUGAAACAUAAGUCUGAAACAUUUGAAAACUUCAAAGAAUUUAGAGUGAACUGGAAGAUCAUCGUAACAAGAAAAUUAAGUUUCUACGAUUUAAUUGUGGAGGUGAAUAUUUGAGUUAUGAUUUUGGUCUUCGUUUGAAACAAUGUGGAAUAGUUUCGCAACUCACGCCACCCGGAACACCACAGCGUAAUGGUGUGUCCGAACGUCGUAGACGCACUUUAUUAGAUAUGGUGCGAUGUAUGAUGUCUCCUACUGAUUUGCCACUAUCGUUUUGGGGUUAUGCUUUAGAGAUGGCUGCAUUCACGUUAAAUAGGGCACCAUCUAAAUCCGUUGGGACGACACCAUAUGAACUGUGGUUUGGCAAGAAACCCAAGUUGUCGUUUCUUAAAGUUUGGGGCUGCGAUGCUUAUGUGAAAAAGCUUCAACCUGAUAAGCUCGAACCCAAAUCGGAGAAAUGUAUCUUCAUAGGAUACCCAAAGGAGUCUGUUGGGUACACCUUCUAUCACAGAUCCGAAGGCAAGGUAUUCGUUGCUAAGAAUGGAUCCUUUCUAGAGAAGGAGUUUCUCUCAAAAGAAGUGAGUGGGAGGAAAUUAGAACUUGAUGAGGUAAUUGUACCUGCUGCUGAAUUGGAAAGUAGUUCAUCACAGAAAUCAGUUCCAGUGAUUCCUACACCAAUCAGUGAGGAAGCAAAUGAUGAUGAUCAUGAAACUUCAGAUCAAGUUACUACUGAACCUCGUAGGUCAACCAGAGUAAGAUCCGCACCAGUGUGGUACGGUAAUCCUGUUCUGGAGGUCAUGUUACUUGACCAUGGCGAACCUACGAACUAUGAGGAAGCGAUGAUGAGCCCUGAUUCCGCGAAAUGGUUUGAGGCCAUGAAAUCUGAGAUGGGAUCCAUGUAUGAGAACAAAGUGUGGACUUUGGUUGACUUGCCCGAUGAUCGGCAAGCCAUAUGAGAAUAAAUGGAUCUUCAAGAAGAAGACUGACGCUGACGGUAAUGUUACUAUCUACAAAGCUCGACUUGUUGCGAAAGAUUUUCGACAAGUUCAAGGAGUUGACUACGAUGAGACCUUCUCACCUGUAGCAAUGCUUAAGUCAGUCCGAAUCAUGUUAGCAAUUGCCGCAUUUUAUGAUUAUCAAAUUUGGCAAAUGGAUGUCAAAACUGCAUUCCUUAAUGGAUAUCUUAAAGAAGAGUUGUAUAUGAUGCAACCAAAAGGUUUUGUCGAUCCUAAAGGUGCUAACAAAGUGUGCAAGCUCCAGCGAUCCAUUUAUGGACUGGUGCAAGCCUCUCGGAGUUGGAAUAUAUGCUUUGAUAGUGUGAUCAAAGCAUAUGGUUUUAUACAGACUUUUGGAGAAGCCUGUAUUUACAAGAAAGUGAGUGGGAGCUCUGUAGCAUUUAUGAUAUUAUAUGUAGAUGACAUAUUGUUGAUCAGAAAUGAUAUUGAAUUUCUGAAUAGCACAAAAGGAUACUUGAAUAAGAAUUUUUCAAUGAAAGACCUCGAUGAAGCUGCUUAUAUAUUGGGCAUCAAGAUCUAUAGAGAUAGAUCAGGACGCUUAAUUGGACUUUCACAAAGCAUAUACCUUGAUAAAGUUUUGAAGAAUUUCAAAAUGGAUCAGUCAAAGAAAGGGUUCUUGCCUGUGUUACAAGGUGUGAAGUUGAGUCAGACUCAAUGCCCAACCAUUGCAGAAGAUAGAGAGAAAAUGAAAGUCAUUCCCUAUGCCUUAGCCAUAGGUUCUAUCAUGUAUGCAAUGCUGUGUACCAGACCUGAUGUGUGCCUUGCUAUUAGUUUAGCAGGGAGGUACCAAAGUAAUCCAGGAGUGGAUCACUAGACAACGGUAAGGAACAUCCUGAAAUAUCUAAAAAGGACUAAGGAUAUGUUUCUCGUUUAUGGAGGUGACAAAGAGCUCAUCGUAAAUGGUUACAUCGAUGCAAGCUUUGACACUGACCCGGAUGACUCUAAGUCACAAACUGGAGACAUAUUUAUAUUGAAUGGUGGAGCUGUCAGUUGGUGCAGUUCCAAACAAAGCAUCGUGGCGGGAUCUACGUGUGAAGCGGAGUACAUAGCUGCUUCGGAAGAAGAAAGGAGUCUGGAUGAAUGAGUUCAUAUUUGAUCUAGGUGUAAUACCUAGUGCAUCGGGUCCAAUGAAAAUGUUUUAUGACAAUACUGGAGCAAUUGCCUUGGCGAAGGAAUCCAGAUUUCACAAGAGAACCAAACACAUCAAGAGACGCUUCAAUUCCAUCCGCGAUCAAGUCAAGGAGGAAGACAUAGAGAUUUGCAAAAUAUAUACGGAUCUGAAUAUUGCAGACCCGUUGACUAAGCCUCUCUCACGAGCAAAACAUGAUCAACACCAAGACUCCAUGGGUGUUAGAAUCAUUACUAUGUAAUCUAGAUUAUUGACUCUAGUGCAAGUGGGAGACUGAAGGAAAUAUGCCCUAGAGGCAAUAAUAAAGUCGUUAUUUAUAUUUCCUUAUAUCAUGAUAAAUGUUUAUUAUUCAUGCUAGAAUUGUAUUCUUAGUACAUGUGUGAAUACAUAGACAAACAGCGUGUCCCUAGUAUGCCUCUACUUGACUAGCUCGUUAAUCAAAGAUGGUUAAGUUUCCUAGCCAUAGACAUGUGUCGUCAUUUGAUGAACGGGAUCACAUCAUUCGAGAAUGAUGUGAUGGACAAGACCCAUCCAUUAGCUUAGCAUUAAUGAUCGGUUAGUUUUAUUUCUAUUGCUUUCAUCGUGACUUAUACAUGUUCCUCUGACUAUGAGAUUGUGCAACUCCCGAAUACCGGAGGAACACUUUGUGUGCUAUCAAACGUCACAAUGUAACAGGUGAUUAUAAAGAUGCUCUACAGGUGUCUCCGAUGGUGUUUGUUGAGUUGGCAUAGAUCGAGAUUAGGAUUUGUCACUCAGUGUAUUGGAGAGGUAUCUCCGGGCCCUCUCAGUAAUCACUGAUACGCGUCGGUCCUAAACAAAUGGUUUUUAUCCCCUUUCCGCGAUGGCAUUUGGAACUGUCGCCAAGUGAGUGUGUGCGAUAGUGUGUCCUUCCCACACGACCCAGAAAUUGUCGGGGAUAGGCCCUCCCGGGACCCAAGCUGGGGCCGUGUGCGAUCGGGCGAGGCAUCGAAACCCAAUCAUUUCCGUAGGUAUGUACAUCCCACACGGUAAUCUGAGAAAAUCAUUUCCGUAGGUAUGUACAUCCCACAUAGUGAAUCCCAGAAAAUCAUUUCCGUUCGUAUGUAUAUCACACACAGUCAAUCCAAGGAAUACGUUUCUGUUCUUAUGUACAUCCCACAUAGUCAAUGCAGGGAAAACGUUCCGUUCGGACGUACAUCCCACACAAUUUUAUGUGUAGGCUUGUGUGAAAGGUGUAACUAUCACACACGGUCUUCCUUGGUUAACUGUUUGCUUUUAUCAACUAUAUCACACACGAUUUGAUGAAGAAAACCGUGUGGCAUUGGGCUAUCCAUCGCAAGUGCUUUUACUGCUAGAAACGUUUGCAAAGGUCCAUGACACAUUUAGCAGGUUUAUUAGUUUACAAUUAAUAAUUCCAGUAUUACGCAAAUUCAUAUUUCAUAUCGAACAACUGCUUGCCAAUUUCAUAUCAGGCACAUAAAUAUAUUAUAACAUCACAGUACGGUAGCUACAUGAAAACAACACAUUACAACAUUAGCUAGUUCAACUUCAUAAGAACAAUAUAUUCAUUUCCCUAAUUGAGGUCAUCCAGGCUCGUCUUAUCCACCUUGCUUUCAGUUCAGUAAGAACCCGUUUUGCACGGGCCAACUGGGAAAGUGCCUCCUCCUUCGCCAACACCAUCUUAGCAAAGUCUGAUUUUAAAAAUCUGAGCUCAUUCUCCACCUUCAACUUUUUAUCCCGCAUCUUGAAAUAUGCUUCAGUGUUGACAAGACUUUCUCUAAGCCUACGUGUGUUCUCUUCCUCAUACAUGCUCCAGAGCUUCGCUAGGCACAUCUUCAAAGACUGUGGCCACUCUUGAUCAACCCACUCUAUGUAAGAACACUCCCGUUCAUCCUAUAAUAUUUAAAACUAGAUCAGUAACAAUUGUAAGGGAAAUGGGUUUAUAGCAACAUAGAAAAUCACCAAUGCUUAUUUUGAAAAACUGAAGAAACAUGUUAAUUAUGACAUAUCUUCUCAAAAAGAUCAAUGUGCAAAUGAAAUAAUUAGUACUGAGACAACAACCAAAUUCUGGAACAUCAGAAGCUAUAAUUAACUGCAACGACGCUACAAGUUCUUACUCAUGUACAAUAAAUAACAAAUUGAACAUUUUAUGAGGAAGGUAAAUAUAACUGCAACAACAUAGUGACAGUGUUUGGAUGACAUCAAAUUGAUACUAACAGGUGUGUACAUGCACACAUUUAGUAACAUAGAACUAAUAGCACUAAGGCCGUCCACUAUGUAUGCCAAAACUGGGGUAAAGACAACUGUUGCUACAUCUCGCACAGAUGCCCUGCACUGGCGAGCCGAUGUAGCGGAAAAAAAAUCAGGGACCCGGACUCUAGAGCACGUAGUUGCUCCGAUGCCCAGUUCCUUCGUGCCAUAAAGAUUUAGUAUUUUACUGCUUGGCUGCUCGGAUGUGUGGACGAAAGUUGGCUGCACAAACUGCAGAAGCGGUGCCAAAUAAUUUUCUAAUGGCACCGCUGAUGAGAUGGCAACAAUUUAAGAUACUAGGUAUAAACUGUGACACUGUCUUAGGAUGCGUUUGGUUGAAGGUGUGGUAUGAAUGGGUUGGGGCCGUGACAGUGUCUGAAUCACAUCUAACAAAUGAUUCAUAACAACGAAAGAGGGUCUAACCUUCUCUGCACAUGCCAGAAACUUCCUCCUACCGUCCACAGAAUCAAACACAACUAGCUUCACGCAUGGAGAUUGAUGGUGACAACGAGCAGAUAGAUCUUCAGCCACCCCGCUCCAUUCAUUGCCACUGAUGGUCCCAGGGAGCUACAAGAGAAAGAAAUGACUCAAAUCGACCGCCGGGUAAAAUCCUUCAUUCCAGUUCAUAGCCCGAGAGAGAGAAGAGAGGCAUACCCCAGUGGUGAAGGAGUAGUCGCCGGAGGAGGAACCGCUGGAGAGGUCGUUGAAGAAGGCCAUGGCGACCCCGGCGGUAGGAUGCGAGACGGCGAGAGCGAGGAAGCGGCUAUAGCUUAGCAAGGAAGGAAGGAAGGAGGAAAUACGGGAAAUGUAACUUGUGGUCGGGGAGAAAAGGGGGUGGGGAAGGGGGGCGGGGGUAGAUAUUUUGGCGGUAGGCCAAAAUUUUGGAAAUGUGGAGGGAAACUUUGCGCGCGGUGCCGCCGGACCAUUCACUUUGAACGAUUGUGUACAUCGCAAACGAUUCUUCUGCUUUACGCGCAUGGGAUGAGUUUGAUAAUUCAAAUUUUGGUGGAAAUUUCCGCGGGUACGUCAUUGCAUAAUUUAACAUCGCUUCCUAAUUUGGGCACACAAAAGAGCGUACAGCAGACAGACCACACUUACCGAAUAGAGCAAUUUUAGUACUUACACAGAGCCAGUUGACCUAAACAUUGCUCUAACAAAAGACCAGCAUUAAAAACAAAGCCUAAGUACGCAUAAUUUUAACAAAUCCGUCGCCGCGCCGGCCUAUGCAUCGCCGGUGUGAGAUGAGACGUCGAUGACUUGUCCUGGCGACAUGCCGCCGUUGGUGGACUCCGCGUUCCCCCUGCUGAAGUCGACCACGUCCUCGUCCUUGGCGCCGCCCUCAAGGUUGUAGUACUCGUAGUAGUGGCUCCACCAAAGCUCGCGUUGGUACUCCACCGCCGAUUCCUCGACGGACAGACUCUUCUCUACCUCGACCUCGGCCACGCGCAACUCCUCCUCCCGGCGCUCCUCGAUCUCCGCCGCCUCCUGCAUCUCCAGCUCUCGCUCGGUGACCUCAUGAGGAAGCAGGUGCUCCAUAGCCACCGCCGCCUUUUUAGAUGUGGGUUACAUGCUGGAGUCCGAGGUGGCUUGGAAUAUCUUGGCGUGUGCGUCCUCGAUCUUGGCGUGGAUGGCCUCGACCCGGGCUAGGGCGACAUCAGCGACACGGAGGGCAGCUCGAGCACUGUCGGCGUUUGCAGCCGCCGUAGCAGCAGCUGCAGCCGUCUCGGCUGCUGCAGCUGCCCUGUCAGCUGCCGCAGAUGCCCUCUCGACGGAAGCGGGCGCGCUCAAUGCGGAUGCGGCGCCACUCUUGGCGUAGGCGGCCGCGCUCUCGGCGCACGCGGCGACGCUUGGGCGGGACGCGUCCAUCGUACGGGCCUUCAUGAAGCGUUUCCACGGCAUCAUCUUUGCAAGAAGGGGUGCAGAAAUGGGGAUCGGGAUUCGUGGAUUCGGGGGUUGCCGGCACUAAAGCAGACGAGCCGGCGAAGCUUAAGGAGGGAGACUUAAAUAGAUCCAGAUAUUUUCAUCGCAAACGGUUCCUAGAAAACAACUGUGUGUGAUGUUGUAGAUAUUUUUAUUAGCUGUGAAAGACGAAUUUGGAGUAAAGUGCCAACGGAUGGUGUUUUAAAUGAAUGAGAAAUUUGGUAGUACUAAUACAACUGUCAUGUCAAAUUUUGGAAAAUUUUAGGGGUCAUUUGACCUUUUAAGACAUUUAAGUGAUUUUCUAGCCAUUUAAUGACCGUAAUUGAAAUUUGAACUACAUGUACAUGCAACAGCUAACCAUAACGGUUUGAAAACUCAUAUUUCGUGUACUUGUGUGCGAUUUAAUUCCAUGUGCAGUAAAUUGGAAAGAAUUUUCAAACAUAUUGGUCUAACGGCUAUGGCACAAUUAAGCAUGGAGUGACAUGGCAUUUUAAUUCCAAAAAAUAAAAAACUCAGAAACACAUGAAACCUUGGUUGAUGUAAUGUCAUGCCACCAAGAUGAUGUGGUAGAAAAAUUGGCAUGUUUGACGAAAGUUUGGACACACACCCUCACAAACCGGGGCAACUUACUAGAAGGCUCGCGGUUCCGAGAGGGAACAAUGCAUGUUUGAUGAUGAAUGGGAGAUAACUUCCUCUUACGACCUUCAAUUUUUUUCUACGUCUAGCAUGCACUACUACAACUGUAAUGUGAAUUUUUUGAAAAUUCUAGGGGUCAUUUGACCUUUUAAAGACAUUUAAGUGAUUUUCUAGCCAUUUAAUUCCGAAAAAAAGAAACGCAUGAAACCUUGGUUGAUGUAAUGUCAUGCCACCAAGAUGACGUGGUAAAGAAAUUGGCAUGUUUGAUGAAAGUUUGGACACACACCCCUCACAAACCGGAGCAACUCUCUAGAAGGUUCGUGGUUCCAAGAGGGAACAAUGCAUGUUUGAUGACGAACGGGAGAUAGCUUCCUCUUAUGGCCUUCAAAUUUUUUCUAUGUCUAACAUGCAGUACUAGAACUGUAAUGUGAAAUUUUGGAAAAUUUCAGGGGUCAUUUGACCUUUUAAAAACAUUUAAGUGAUUUCCUAACCAUUUAAUGACCGUAAUUCAAAUUUGAACUACAUCUACAUGCAACGCCUAACCAAAACGGUUUGAAAAAUCAUAUCUGUGUACUUGUGUGCGAGUUAAUUCCAUGUGCAGUAAAUUAGAAGGAAUUUUCAAACAUAUUAGUCUCACGACAUGGAUACAUGCAUACGUAUGCAUGGAGUGACAUGGCAUUUUAAUUCCAAAAAAUAAAAAAAAUGAUCAGAAAAACAUGAAACCUUGGUUGAUGUAAUGUCAUGCCACCAAGAUGAUGUGGUAAAGAAAUUGGCAUGUUUGACGAACGUUUGUACACACACUCCUCACAAACCGGAGCAACUCGCUAGAAGAUUUGUGAUUCUGAGAGGGAACAAUGCAUGUUUGAUGACGAACGGGAGAUAGCUUCCUCUUACAGCCUUCAAUUUUUUCCUACGUUUAACGUGCACUAAUACAACUGUCAUGUGAAAAUUUGGAAAAUUUCAGGGGUCAUUUGACCUUUUAAAGACAUUUAAGUGAUUUUCUAACCAUUUAAUGACCGUAGUUCAAAUUUGAACUACAUCUACAUGCAACGCCUAACCAUAAUGGUUUGAAAAAUCAUAUUUUUGUGUACUUGUGUGCGAGUUAAUUUCAUGUGCAGUAAAUUAGAAGGAAUUUUCAAACAUAUUAGUCUCAAGGCAUGGGCACAUGCAUGGAGUGCCAUGGCAUUUUAAAUCCAAAAAAUAAAAAAAUGAUCAGAAAAACAGGAAACCUUGGUUGAUGUAAUGUCAUGCCACCAAAAUGAUGUGGUAAAGAAAUUGGCAUGUUUGACGAACGUUUGGACACACACCCCACACAAACCGGAGCAACUCGCUAGAAGGUUCGUGGUUCCAAGAGGGAACAAUGCAUGUUUGAUGACGAACGAGAGAUAACUUCCUCUUACGGCCUUCUAUUUUUUUUUCCUACGUUUAACAUGCACUAAUACAACUGUCAUGUGAAAAUUUGGAAAACUUCUGGGGUCAUUUGACCUUGUAAAGACAUUUAAGUGAUUUUCUAACCAUUUAAUGACCGUAAUUCAAAUUUGAACUACAUCUACAUGCAACGCCUAACCAUAACGGUUUGAAAAAUCAUAUUUUUGUGUACUUGUGUGCGAGUUAAUUGCAUGUGCAGUAAAUUAGAAGGAAUUUUCAAACAUAUUGGUCUCAAGGCAUGGGCACAUGCAUGGAGUGCAUGCCAUGGCAUUUUAGUUCCAAAAAAUUAAAAAUGAUCAGAAAAACAUGAAACCUUGCUUGAUUUAAUGUUAUAACACCAAGAUGAUGUGGUAAAAAAAUUGGCCUGUUUGACAAAAGUUUCGACACACACCCCUCACAAACCGGAGCAAAUCACUAGAAGGUUCGUGGUUCCGAGAGGGAACAAUGCAUGUUUGAUGACGAACGAGAGAUAACUUCCUCUUACGGCCUUCUAAUUUUUUUUCCUACGUUUAACAUGCACUAAUACAACUGUCAUGUGAAAAUUUGGAAAACUUCUGGGGUCCUUUGACCUUUUAAAGACAUUUAAGUGAUUUUCUAACCAUUUAAUGACCGUAAUUCAAAUUUGAACUACAUCUACAUGCAACGCCUAACCAAAGCUGUUUGAAAAAUCAUAUUUUUGUGUACUUGUGUGCGAGUUAAAAAAUCAUCAGACGAUGUAAAUAUCUGGUGUUCAAAAAAGAAAAUGUAAAGAUCUGGCAAGACAACCGACCCCCACACGAUUGGCACUCUAUCUCGCGGCUCGAGGUUUGGUAGGUGAUUGGCGGCGAUCAUUAAUCAGACACGGUUCUGUAUUGAAAACCGUCAACUAUUAUGUUCACACACGGAUUUUGCUGCGGGAAUCGUGUGUAAUUCAAACUACAGUACUCGUAAAUUCCGGUGACCGGCGUGUGUACUGUCCCGUCGAUCUAGAUUACGACCGCCAAUAAAUACUACCUUGCUCACGUCGUCCCGCCUGCAUUCUCAUCUACAUCCUCCCCUCGCCCGCCCUCUCUCUCUCUGUCAAAUCUCUGCCAUGGCGCCACCGGUCUGCCCACGCGCCGACGAGGAGUCGCCGCCCCCCGAGGACGCUCACUCGAUUAGCAGCGACGAGGACCCCUACGCGCCGCCUGACGAGGUUGCACCGGACCCCCCAACUUUGGAUUGGUUUUGGGGCCAGUACAAUCUUUGUCUGUGGAAGUCGCUGCCACCGGCUGAGAAAGCCAGGCAAGUGGCGUUCAAGAAGGAGAUGGCGGAGGAGAAAGACAGGUACUAGGCGGCCUGUGAAGCCCGUGAUGCCGGCUGGAAAAAGGAGGCGGCAGAGCUUUGGGGGCGGGCACGUCGUCGUGCCGAGGAGGUGUACGAAUACAGGUACUUCGCGAGGAAGGUCAUAGGCGCUGGGCGCCUCAUCGUUGCGUGGAGGUGGGCCGAUAAGCUCCAGCGUGCCACCGACGAGGAGCUCCGUUGGGCGCCCAACGAAAUGGCAAGAUCGGCCGCGCGCGUCCGCCAGCAAGGGGCAGAUCGGUACGUCAAGCGCUGCGAGGCGGAGGAGUCGGAGUACUGCCUCCGAACUGGGAAGACGCCGUGCACCAGGGAGCUGCUGGCGAGGGGUUGCCGGAAUACUGGCCCCAGGAGGGAUUAUUAGUUUUAGUAUUGUUCAUUUUUAAUUUUAUUCAUUGUACCUAGUAGUUAAGUAUCAUCACGUAUAUGUGAUGAUUAUAUAUAUAUAUAUAUAUAUUUUGUGAUGAACUAAUGAACAAUUAAUAUAUAUAUAUAUAUAUUAUGAAUUCCAAUUUUUUUCUGUUUUUGUAUACUAAUUUGAAUCUAGCUGUUAUCAUCCACAUAUACAGAAUGGAAAGCGUAUAUACACACAUUGAAACAGAACAUAUAAGAAUGGAAAACAGAGUACACACAUUGAAACAGAGCAAUAAACAGAGCAAUACUAUGAUUGUUGUGAAUACAUAGUUAUCCACGUCGAAAAGACUUUUCAAAAUAAAACGCGUCCAUGAGACCAUGACCAACAGCCCUUGCCUAGGGUAGCUCUUGGAUCUGCCUGAACUCGUGCAUGCGUUCGUCAAAGCGGUCGACACGCUCGCGGUACAUCUGGAGCGAGAUCUUGAGCUCCAAGUUGGCUAUUUCAUCGGAGCUCACCAGCUCGAGGAUGCGACGGCCAUGUUCCUCUACUUCGCCCAGGUGGACACCUGGGCCAAGGAGGCGGUCGAGCCUACGGAACAACGCGUUGGCAUCCAGCGGGCCGCGGACAAGGCAAACGGCGGCACCCAGGCGAACGGCGCGGCGGGCGUCCAGUGCAAGUAUGGCGCAGCCGGCCUCUGGUGAAAGUAUGGCGCCGAGGGCCUCUGCCCACUCCUGGCGAGGAAUGGGGGUACUGACGGGACGUGUACCCAGCAGCGACGCCAUGUCGACAGCAGGCAAGCGCCGAUGGAUCCGCUCUUGCUGUGCGGCGCGCCGCGCCUCUCACUCUGCGGCGCUCCAACGGUCUCGCCGUGUGGUGAGCCGCAGCCUAUCGGCGCGGACGCGCCUAGCUUGCUCCGCGGCGCGCCAUCGAUCAUGUUGUGCAGCGAGCUGCAGCCUGUCGGCGCUGACAUGCCUAUCUUGAUCCGCGGUGCUCAAGCGCCAUGCGCCAAAGGUCUGCUCAACCCUGGCGAUGACGCGCAUCACGACGUCGUCCAUCGCGUUGCCGGGAGCGCCUCGGCCUCGACGGGCCGUGGCGCCUGCUCGAUUUCCUCGUCGACGAGUGGCAGGCGGCGCUUUGGUGGGUCAGCAUGCUUGGAAAAGGUGGAUGUGCUACAGGCUGCGCUUGUCGCCUCCGUGCGUUGCACGCCGCCUAUGCGCAAUAUAGCAGGGUGGCAGGAAACAGGUGAGGAAAUGGCGGGAAACGGUGGCGUGUUCAUAAAACGCCAUCAACUAAUGGAAACUUUGCAUAGAAGGAACAUCGAGCUAGCACAAGAAGUAGAUGAUGAUCAGAUGAACACGGACCACACUAGGGAACCCGUCGGUGAUGAAUUCAUCAAUCCCAAACGGUUGAAUACUAGCAAGCGUUUGCCCACAACACACACGGCCUAUUCCAUCACAAACAGGUCGGAUGGAUCAACUGUAUGCCACGUAUCACACAUUGUCAAAAAGUAAUGCGGUAGACCUUCUUUAACAUGUGUUAAAAAAACAAGGACCUCGAGGUUAAAUUAGCUGAGGGAAUGGGUCAUUUCGGUCAAAUGACCGAAAUGACCCAUCCUAUCAGUUAAUUUAACAUCAACACAACUUUCCAUCCAGUUACCCAUCUGAUGGCUGCUCCAGCCUGAGCACACUUAACUUGAUAGUUUUCUUACAUGAGCUAUUGGUGGAACAACUAGUCCUUGCUGAUAGGAAUGCCUCUUCGCAUCCUUAUGGCGUAUCCGGAUGAUCGCCCGUCCCACAAUGGCCAAUAGAUGUUGUGUAGACAGAGCAUAUCACAUACGUCUUAUUAGAAGCAACCGUCUGUGUUAUUAUCGGUCUUCGCACACAUUUCUGAUUACAGACCUGUUUGCCGCGUAUCACACACAUCUUGUUAUAUUGAACCGUUUCUGUUCUCUUGCCUAAUCACAAACAGUUCAUCCGAGUGAACCGUAUGCUGUACAUCGCACACACCUUGAUCGGGCUGACCGUUUCUUUUGUGUUGCCUAAUCACAAACAGUUCAUCCGAGUGAACCGUAUGCUGUACAUUGCACACACCUUCAUCUGGCUGCCCGUUUCUUUUGUUCCUCCUCAUCGCAAACAAUUAAUUGAGCUGAACCGUAUGCCCUGCAUCGCACACGCAACUAAAAUCUGAACCGUGUUUGAUGCAUCCUCCAUCGCAAACGUUUUGCACCUUUUUUGACGGUUAUUUUACACCAACGUUUGCGAUUAUGGCAUCACACACAGUUUCGUUGAAGGGUCUCUGAUCGUAGUGUCGCGUUAGCAACAUCCUGCAGUAGUGAAUGCACAUCACUAUAAGCCUUGCAAGCAAUGUGACUAAUGAGUUAGUUGCGGGAUGAUGCAUUAUGGAACGAGUUAAGAGACUUGGCGGUAACGAGAUUGAACUAGGUAUGAUGAUACCGACGAUCGAAUCUCAGACAAGUAACAUACCGCUGACGAAGGGAACACCGUACGUUGUUAUGCGGUUUGACCGAUAAAGAUCUUCGUAUAAUAUGUAGGAGACAAUAUGAGCAUCCAGGUUCCGCUAUUGGUUAUUGACCGGAGAUGUGUCUCAGUCAUGUCUACAUAGUUCUCGAACCCGUAGGGUCCGCACGCUUAAUGUUCGAUGACGAUUUGUGUUAUGAGUUAUGUGAUUUGAUGUACCGAAGUUUGUUCGGAGUCCCGGAUGAGAUCACAGACAUGACGAGGAGUCUCGAAAUGGUCGAGACAUAAAGAUUGAUAUAUUAUUGGAAGGUUGUGUUUGGACACCGGAAUGGUUUCGGAAAGGUUCGGACAUUUUCCGGAGUACCGGGGGUUACCGGAACCCCCCCGGGGAGUUAAUGGGCCUUCAUGGGCCCUGUGGAGAGAGGAGGCGGCGGCCAGGUGGAGGCGUGCGCCGCCCCAAGCCCAAACCGAAUUGGACUAGGGUUGGGGGGGCCCCUUUCCUUCUCUCCUCCUCCUCCUUCCCUCCUUNNNNNNNNNNNNNNNNNNNNNNNNNNNNNNNNNNNNNNNNNNNNNNNNNNNNNNNNNNNNNNNNNNNNNNNNNNNNNNNNNNNNNNNNNNNNNNNNNNNNNNNNNNNNNNNNNNNNNNNNNNNNNNNNNNNNNNNNNNNNNNNNNNNNNNNNNNNNNNNNNNNNNNNNNNNNNNNNNNNNNNNNNNNNNNNNNNNNNNNNNNNNNNNNNNNNNNNNNNNNNNNNNGGACUGGGAGUCCAAGUAGGACUCCCCCCAUGGCGCGCCCCCCUUGGGCCGGCCACCUCUCCUCCCCCCUUUUAUAUACGUGGGAGGGGCGCACCCCAAAGGGACACCAAGCCUUCUCUUAGCCGUGUGCGGUGCCCCCCUCCAUAGUUACACACCUCGGUCAUAUCGCCGUAGUGCUUAGGCGAAGCCCUGCGCCGGUAACUUCAUCAUCAUCGUCGCCACGCCAUCGUGCUGACGGAACUCUCCCUCGGCCUCAACUGGAUCAAGAGCUCGAGGGACGUCAUCGAGCUGAACGUGUGCUGAACGCGGAGGUGUCGUACAUUCGGUGCUUGGAUCGCGAAGACGUUCGACUGCAUCAACCGCGUUACUAAACGCUUCCGCUUUCGGUCUACGAGGGUACGUGGACACACUCUCCCCGCUCGUUGCUAUGCUUCUCCUAGAUAGAUCUUGCAUGAUCGUAGGAAUUUUUUUGAAAUACUACGUUCCCCAACAAAUUGUUAUGCUCAAAUUGCAAAGACAUGAAGCUUCUAACAUUAUUUUCAAUUUCGUCUAACCUCCUAAGGUGAGGAUCAACGUUUUUUGGAGGAUACAUUGCGACAAAGCAAGCAAUCCAACACAUGAGCACACAGAAAGCAAGCGAAUAAGACAAACAGAAGAGGGGCAAAGAAAAGGCGAAUCUUUUCGAAAAGGCGAAUCUCUGCGAAACUCUAAAUCUUUUAGAAGUGGGGGAGAGGAAAAUGAGAGGCGAAUGGCAAAUAAUGUGAUGCGAGGGAUGAGAGUUUAUGAUGGGUACUUGGUAUGUCUCGGCUUGGCGUAGAUCUCCCCGGCAAUGGCGCCAGAAAUUCUUCCUGCUACCUCUUGAGCUUGCGUUGGUUUUUCCCUUGAAGAGGAAAGGGUUAUGCAGCAAAGUAGAGUAAGUAUUUCCCUCAGAUUUUGAGAACCAAGGUAUCAAUCCAGUAGGAGACAACGCGCAAGCCACUGAAUACCUGCACAAACAAACACCAACUUGCACCCAAAAGGGGUUGUCAAUCCCUUCACGGUUAUUUGCAACGUGAGAUCAGAUAGAGAUGGAUAAACGGUAAAGUAAUAUUUUUGGUAUUUUUGGUUUAUGGAACGGAAAGUAAAAGAUUGCAAAGAAAGUAAAUAGGAAACUGAAAUUAUAGAUCGGAAACUUAUAUGAUGGAAAAUAGACCUGGGGGCAUAGGUUUCACUAGAGGCUUCUCUCAAGAUAGAAAUUAUUACGGUGGGUGAACAAAUUAUUGCAGAGCAAUUGAUAGAAAAGUGCAAAGUUAUGACGAUAUCUAAGGCAAUGAUCAUGAACAUAGGCAUCACGUCCUUAUCAAGUAGACCGACUCCUGCCUGCAUUUACUACUAUUACUCCACACAUCGACCGCUAUCCAGCAUGCAUCUAGAGUAUUAAGUUCAUAAAGAACGGAGUAACACCUUAAGCAAGAUGACAUGAUGUAGAGGAAUUAACUCAAGCAAUAUGAUGAAAACCCCAUCUUUUUAUCCUCGAUGGCAACAAUACAACACGUGUCGGUUCCCCUUCUGUCACUAGGAUCGAGCAGCGCAAGGUUGAACCCAAAGCUAAGAACUUUUCCAUUGCAAGAAAAACCUAUCUAGUUGGCCAAACCAAAUCGAUAGUUCGAAGAGACUUGCAAAGAUAUCAAAUCAUGCAUAUAAGAAUUCAGAGAAGAUUCAAAUAAUAUUCAUAGAUAAGCCGAUCAUAAAGCCACAAUUCAUCGGAUCUCGGCAAACACACCGCAAAAGAGUAUUACAUGGAAUAGAUCUCCAAGAACAUCGAGGAGAACUUUGUGUUGAGAAUCAAAGAGAGAGAAGAAGCCAUCUAGCUACUAGCUAUGGACCCGCAAGUCUGUGAUAAACUACUCAGGUUUCAUUGGAGAGGCAAUGGUGUUGAUGUAGAAGCCCUCCGUGAAAAGGCCCCGAGAUGGGACCUCACGCGUACAGAAGGUUGCGGAGGUGGAAAAUUGGUUUCGUGGCUCCCCUGGAAGUUUUUGGGAUAUUUGAGAAUAUAUAGGAGGAAGAUCUAGGUCAGGGGGUCACCGAGGGGCCCACAAGGUCGGGGGGCGCGCCCUCCACCCUUGUGGCCGCCUCGUGGCUCUUCUAACUUGCACUCCAAGUCUCCUGGGUGUCUUCUGGUCCAAGAAAAAUCAUCGCGAAAGUUUUAUUCUGUUUGGACUCUGUUUGGUAUUCCUUUUCUGCGAAACUCUAAAACAAGGAAAAAAACAUGAACUGGCAUUGGGCUCUAGGUUAAUAGGUUAGUCCCAAAAAUCAUAUAAAAUAGCAUAUUAAUGCAUAUAAAACAUCCAAAUCAGAUAAUAUAAUAGCAUGGAACAAUAAAAAAUUGUUGAUACGUUGGAGACGUAUCAAGCAUCCCCAAGCUUAAUUCCUGCUCGUCCUCGAGUAGGUAAAUGAUAAAGAUAGAAUUUUUGAUGUGGAAUGCUACCUAACAUAUUUAUCCAUGUAAUUAUCUUUAUUGUGGCAUGAAUGUUCAGAUCUGUAAGAUUCAAAACAAAAUUUUAAUAUUGACAUAAAAACAAUAAUACUUCAAGCAUACUAGCAAAAUAAUUAUGUCUUCUCAAAAUAACAUGGCCAAAGAAAGCUUAUCCCUACAAAAUCAUAUAGUCUGGCUAUGCUCCAUCUUCAUCACACAGAAUAUUCAAAUCAUGCACAACCCCGAUGACAAGCCAAGCAAUUGUUUCAUACUUUUGAUGUUCUGAAACUUUUUCAACUUUCACGCAAUACAUGAGCGUGAGCCAUGGACAUAGCACUAUAGGUGGAAUAGACGAUGGUUGUGGAGAAGACAAAAGGAAGGAGAUAGUCUCACAUCAACUAGGCGUAUCAACGGGCUAUGGAGAUGCCCAUUAAUAGAUAUCAAUGUGAGUGAGUAGGGAUUGCCAUGCAACGGAUGCACUAGAGCUAUAAGUUUAUGAAAGCUCAAAAGAAAACUAAGUGGGUGUGCAUCCAACUUGCUUGCUCACGAAGACCUAGGGCAUUUUGAGGAAGCCCGUCAUUGGAAUAUACAAGCCAAGUUCUAUAAUUAAAAAUUCCCAUUAGUAUAUGAAAUUGAUAUCAUAGGAGGCUCUCUAUCAUGAAGAUCAUGGUGCUACUUUGAAGCACAAGUGUGGUAAAAGGAUAGUAGCAUUACCCCUUCUCUCUUUUCUCUCAUUUUUUUAUUUGGGCCUUCUUUAUUUUUUGGCCUCUUUUUUUCGUCCGGAAUCUCAUCCCGGCUUGUGGGGGAAUCAUAGUCUCCAUCAUCCUUUCCUCACAUGGGACAAUGCUCUAACAAUGAAGAUCAUCACACUUUUAUUUAGUUACAACUCAAAAAUUACAAGAAAAAUCACCGUAAAGUUUUAUUCCGUUUGGACUUCGUUUGGCAUUCCUUUUUUGUAAAAGUCAAAAACAAGGAAAAAACCAGAAACUGGCACUGGGCACUAGGUUAAUAAGUUAGUCCCAAAAAUAAUAUAAAAUAGCAUAUUAAUGCAUAUAAAACAUCCAAAACAGAUAAUAUAAUAGCAUGGAACAAUCAAAAAUUAUAGAUACGUUGGAGACGUAUCAUGGACCAGUACCCCCAGACCAUGAUGGGGCGGAUCCAGCGGAGGAGCAGCGGCAGUCGGAGGCGGAGUAGUAUCCCUAGCCCAUGGAGGGGCGAAUCUGGAGGAGGACACAGUGGAGCCAGAGUGGGAGGCAGAGCUGGCUGCGGGCUUUGCCAUUGAGGACACCAUGACAGAGUUCGAGGUCGCCCAAGCCGAGGAGGCGGCGGAGUGGACCGCCACCCUAGAGUCCAUCCAGCAGAGGCCUCGGUUUAGGUCAACCGACGCUUCCUCCGGCAGCAGAGGGUGGGGAUCGACGAAAUCUUCGCCUCUAGUGAGUCCCACGACGAGCCGAAGUUGCCGCAUGCGGACAUCUACCCAAAGCCCGACACGGAGGCCGUGGACAUCUCGAUGAUGAGUAGCGUGGGGUAGAUAGGAUAUAUACGUAGUAUGUAGGUUUUUAUUUUGCAUGGUUUGUAUGGAUUUGAGAUAUAUACUAUGAGGUAUUUGGAUGCAGCAGACAAAUUUUGAGAUGUGACCGAUCACUGUCCGCAAAUGUGUCCGGACACGUUCGACGGGCAUUUGAGGACCCAAAUUUGGUAUGCACGGUUGUAGAUGCUCUUAGGCCUUAGAAACCCCAGAUGAGACGGCCAACAGCUCUCCGAACAAAAAAAAUUGCUUCUCCGGGAUGGAAGUUUCACUUGUAAGUAGACAUUGGUCAUUUGGAAAGAUGGUUCUGGACUUCUGGCCUUUGUGGCAUCCUACCCGAAGAUAAUGCGCCGUCCUCGCAGCAAGAGCGUGUUUGGUUGGUUUUACCAAUUUGCCUGCAUUGCAUGUGUUUCUUUGAUCGGUCUGGCUGAAAAAAUAGCCUAAAAACCAUACAGUUUGGUUGCCCGCAUCUAGGAUGGCUGCAUGAGAGAACUAAAUUUGACCUGCCGUUUGGUUGGCUGCAUUGUAGUAGACGUACAUAUGACACGUUGUUUGGUUGCAACCAACGUAAGUUCUUGUCACCACUUCUCACUAGUGUGACCUUACCACACACAAUCUGAAUAUAGUUUCAGUCCUAACUAGGAAAUAAAUGACAACACAAAUUAUUAAGAACCAUAUGACUGAAUAGGGGAGAGUUCAUCGAUGCUAACUAGGUGGAAGUCCAUCCUCUUCUUCUUCCUCUUCCUCUUCAGAUCCUUGUUUGAUCUCUGUUGUCUCACAUUGCCUGUGCCCACUUCAUCCUUUUGUUCUUUCAGGCUUCGUUGUGAAAUGCCUCCACACCAUGGCCGGAGUUAACAACAUCGUCAGGCAUCACAUCUUCCUCCUCAGGCACUAGUUCAUCACAACCCCAUUGUAGGAUCCAGUUACGCAGAAUGCAACAAGCAAGCACAAGCUUAACCUGGGUGGGGAAAAUGUGGAAUGGCUUUUGAUUUAGGAUCUUAAACCUGUUCUUCAGAGCUCCAAAUGCCAUCUCAACAGUAACUGUAAGGCUGGAGUGUCUGAGAUUAAACAGCUCUCGUGGAGUCCUAGGAUAGUUCCUACCAACAAACUCAUUCAGAUGGUACCUGGUUUUCCUGAAGGGUGGAAGAACACCUGGCCGGCAUGCAUAGCCAGUAUCUUCUAGGUAGAACUUGCCAUCUAGGAUGUUGAUGCCAUCAGGACGACUCAUGUUGUCACUGAGAAUGUUAGCAUCAUGUGUUGAUCCUUCCUAGCCAACCAACACAUAUGUGCACUUCAGAUCGAAGUCAACAACAACAAGCACAUUCUGCCUUGUGUAGUGCUUUCUACCAUGUAUGUUGCAGACUGUGACCACGACAGUGUGGCAGUGACAUGAGUACCAUCUAUUGCCCCAAUGCAAUUCUGAAAUGGCAUUACAAGAUUAUGUUGUGGCUAUAGCCGAAGAAUACAAGCAUAUCAAGGUAUGAAGUACAUACUGUCAGUGCUCACCUUGAAGUAUGGAUACUGUAUUGGGCUAGUGCGAAUCUUCGUAGGAGUCCGGCUGGUUGGUGACACGAUCAUUUCUCCUCUGAGUUCCCCAACAACAUACAACACUUGGCUGAAGUACCUGGAGAUGGUCUACAUUGAUCUCCUGAAGGUGUUCUGCAUAUCCUUGAACCUCUGAUUAUGACCAACAACAUGGAGGAGCAUGGCUACUUGCUCUUCCACACAGGUGUGGAUGCUAUCUUGUAGCAUCCCCUGCUCCUGAUGGCCCGCACAAGCCUUCUAAAUAGUGAUCUUUUUCAUUCGAAGCAUCCACAGAGCCUCUGUGUCGUUGUGGUUUUAGAUGUAGUUUAGAUUCACCAUCCUCUCCUGAUCCCGGAUAAACAUUGGACCGUGAUUGGUGACUGGCCUCCCACCACGACGAACAACUCUUUUGUGCAUCAACAUGAGCCAUGCCUGAAUCACAGCUAUCAGUGUUGCAGCCUAAAUUACGAGCUUAAUUCGUGCGUCCAUAACCUAGUCGACAUUGAGGGUGCAUUGAGCAAUGGGGAAAUCAAGCCUACACCUUGCCUAACGGCCUAACAACCUACCUAACAUAGGGGGCGAGGGGGUGUUACUUUGUAGUGAACGUUGGGGAUCGUUGCAGAAAUUAAAAAUUUUCUACGCAUCACCAAGAUCAAUCUAUGGAGUCAUCUAGCAACCAGAGAGAGAGGAGUGCAUCUACAUACCCUUGUAGAUCGCGAGCGGAAGCGUUCAAGAGAACGGGGUUGAUGGAGUCGUACUCGUCGUGAUCCAAAUCACCGAUGAUCCUAGCGCCGAACGGACGGCACCUCCGCGUUCAACACACGUACGGAGCGGAGACGUCUCCUCCUUCUUGAUCCAGCAAGGGGUAAGGAGAACUUGAUGGAGAUCCAGCAGCACGACGGCGUGGUGGUGGAAGCAGCGGGAUUCCAGCAGGGCUUCGCCAAGCGCUACUGGAGGAGGAAGAGGUGUCACGGGAGGGAGAGGCAGGCGCCAGGGCUUAGGGUGCGGCUGCCCUCCCUCCCCUCCACUAUAUAUAGGGGCUAGGGGGGGUGCAUGCCCCCCUUGGAGAUCCCAUCUAGAGGGGGGGAGGGCGGGGCGGCGGCCCCUCGGGGGGCAACGACCCCCCUAUGGUUUCCAACCCUAGGCGCCUUGGGCCCUUGGGUGGGGCGCACCAGCCCACCAGGGGCUGGUUCCCACGCCACUUCAGCCCAUGGGGCCCUCCGGGAUAGGUGGCCCCAUCCGGUGGACCCCCGGGACCCUUCCGGUGGUCCCGGUACAAUACCGGUGACCCCCGAAACUCUCCCGGUGGCCGAAACUGGACUUCCUAUAUAUAAAUCUUUGCGUCCGGACCAUUCCGGAACUCCUCGUGACGUCCGGGAUCUCAUCUGGGACUCCGAACAACUUUCGGUUAACCGCAUACUAAUAUCUCUACAACUCUAGCGUCACCGAACCUUAAGUGUGUAGACCCUAUGGGUUCGGGAAUCAUGCAGACAUGACCGAGACACCACUCUAGCCAAUAACCAACAACGGGAUUUGGAUACCCAUGUUGGCUCCCACACGUUCCAUGAUGAUCUCAUCGGAUGAACCACGAUGUCGAGGAUUCAAGCAAUCCCGUACACAAUUCCCUUUGUCAAUCGGUACGUUACUUGCCCGAGAUUCGAUCGUCGGUAUCCCAAUACCUCGUUCAAUCUCGUUACCGGCAAGUCACUUUACUCGUUCCGUAAUGCAUGAUCCCAUGACUAACUACUUAGUCACAUUGAUCUCAUUAUGAUGAUGCAUUACCGAGUGGGCCCAGAGAUACUUCUCCGUCAUACGGAGUGACAAAUCCCAGUCUCGAUCCGUGCCAACCCAACAGACACUUUCGGAGAUACCUGUAGUGCACCUUUAUAGCCACCCAGUUAUGUUGUGACGUUUGGUACACCCAAAGCAUUCCUACGGUGUCCGGGAGUUGCACGAUCUCAUGGUCUCAGGAAAUGAUACUUGACAUUAGAAAAGCUUUAGCAAACGAACUACACGAUCUAGUGCCAUGCUUAGGAUUGGGUCUUGUCCAUCACAUCAUUCUCCUAAUGAUGUGAUCCCGUUAUCAAUGACAUCCAAUGUCCAUGGUCAGGAAACCGUAACCAUCUAUUGAUCAACGAGCUAGUCAACUAGAGGCUCACUAGGGACAUGUUAUGGUCUAUGUGUUCACACAUGUAUUACGAUUUCCGGAUAACACAAUUAUAGCAUGAACAAUAGACAAUUAUCAUGAAUAAGGAAAUAUAAUAUAACCAUUUUAUUAUUGCCUCUAGGGCAUAUUUCCAACAGUCUCCCACUUGCGCUAGAGUCAAUAAUCUAGUUACAUUGUGAUGAAUCGUACACCCAUAGAGUUCUGGUGUUGAUCAUGUUUUGCCCGUGGAAGAGGUUUAGUCAACGGAUCUGCGACAUUCAAAUCCGUAUGCACUUUACAAAUAUCUAUGUCUCCAUUUUGAACAUUUUCACGAAUGGAGUUGAAGUGACGCUUGAUGUGCCUGGUCUUCUUGUGAAGCCUGGGCUCCUUGGUAAGGGCAAUAGCUCCAGUGUUGUCACAGAAGAGAGUCAUCGGCCCCGAUGCAUUGGGAAUAACUCAUAGGUCGGCAAUGAACUCCUUCAUCCAGAUUGCUUCAUGUGCUGCCUCCGAGGCUGCCAUGUACUCCGCUUCACAUGUAGAUCCCUCCACGACGCUUUGCUUGCAACUGCUCCAGCAGACUGCCCCACCAUUCAAAAUAUACACGUAUCCGGUUUGUGGCUUAGAGUCAUCCAGAUCUGUGUCGAAGCUAGCAUCGACGUAACCCUUUACGACGAGCUCUUCGUCACCUCCAUAAACGAGAAACAUAUCCUUAGUCCUUUUCAGGUACUUCAGGAUGUUCUUGACCGUUGUCCAGUGUUCCAUGCCGGGAUUACUUUGGUACCUUCCUACCAAACUUACGGCAAGGUUUACAUCAGGUCUGGUACACAGCAUGGCAUACAUAAUAGACCCUAUGGCCGAGGCAUAGGGGAUGACACUCAUCUUUUCUUUAUCUUCUGCCGUGGUCGGGCAUUGAGCCGUGCUCAAUCUCACACCUUGCAAUACAGGCAAGAACCCCUUCUUGGACUGAUCCAUAUUGAACUUCUUCAAUAUCUUAUCAAGGUAUGUGCUUUGUGAAAGACCUAUGAGGCGUCUCGAUCUAUCUCUAUAGAUCUUGAUGCCUAAUAUGUAAGCAGCUUCUCCAAGGUCCUUCAUUGAAAAACACUUAUUCAAGUAGGCCUUUAUGCUUUCUAUAUCAUUUCCCAUCAAUAGUAUGUCAUCCACAUAUAAUAUGAGAAAUGCUACAGAGCUCCCACUCACUUUCUUGUAAACACAGGCUUCUCCAUAAGUCUGUGUGUAAACCCAAACGCUUUGAUCAUCUCAUCAAAGCGAAUGUUCCAACUCCGAGAUGCCUGCACCAGCCGAUAGAUUGAGCGCUGGAGUUUGCAUACCUUGUCAGCAUUCUUAGGAUCGACAAAACCUUCCGGCUGCAUCAUAUACAAUUCUUCCUUAAGGAAGCCGUUAAGGAAUGCCGUUUUGACGUCCAUUUGCCAUAUUUCAUAAUCGUAGAAUGCGGCAAUUGCUAACAUGAUUCGGACGGACUUCAGCUUCGCUACGGGUGAAAAGGUCUCAUCGUAGUCAACUCCUUGAACUUGUCGAUAACCCUUAGCGACAAGUCGAGCUUUAUAGAUGGUAACAUUUCCAUCCGCGUCCGUCUUCUUCUUAAAGAUCCAUCUAUUUUCUAUCGCUCGCCGAUCAUCGGGCAAGUCUGUCAAAGUCCAUACUUUGUUUUCAUACAUGGAUCCUAUCUCGGAUUGCAUAGCUUCAAGCCAUUUGUUGGAAUCUGGGCCCGCCAUUGCUUCUUCAUAGUUCGAAGGUUCAUCGUUGUCCAACAACAUGAUUUCCAUGACAGGGUUGCCGUACCACUCUGGUGCGGAAUGUGUCCUUGUGGACCUACGCAGUUCAGUGGUAACUUGAUCAUGAUCAUCAUCAUUAACUUCCUCUCUAGUCGGUGCAGGCACCACAGAAACAUUUUCUUGUGCUGCGCUACUUUCUGGUUCGUGAGGGUUCAUCUCAUCAAGUUCCACUUUCCUCCCACUUACUUCUUUCGAGAGAAACUCUUUCUCCAGAAAGGACCCGUUCUUGGCAACGAAGAUCUUGCCUUCAGGUCUGAGGUAGAAGGUAUACCCAAUGGUUUCCUUAGGGUAUCCUAUGAAGACGCAUUUUUCCGAAUUGGGUUCGAGCUUUUCAGGUUGAAGUUUCUUGACAUAAGCAUCGCAUCCCCAAACUUUAAGAAACAACAGCUUAGGUUUCUUUCCAAACCAUAAUUCAUACGGUGUCGUCUCAACGGAUUUCGACGGAGCCCUAUUUAAAGUGAAUGCGGCAGUCUCUAAAGCAUAACCCCAAAAUGAUAGCGGUAGAUCGGUAAGAGACAUCAUAGAUCGCACCAUAUCCAAUAGAGUGUGAUUACGACGUUCGGACACACCAUUAUGCUGAGGUGUUCCAGGCGGCGUGAGUUGUGAAACAAUUCCACAUUUCCUUAAGUGUGUGCCAAAUUCGUGACUCAAAUAUUCCCCUCCACGAUCUGAUCGUAAGAACUUUAUUUUCCUGUCACGUUGAUUCUCAACCUCACUCUGAAACUCCUUGAACUUUUCAAAGGUCUCAGACUUGUGUUUCAUUAAGUAGACAUACCAUAUCUACUCAAGUCAUCAGUGAGGGUGAGAACAUAACAAUAGCCACCGCGAGCCUCAACGCUCAUUGGACUGCACACAUCAGUAUGUAUGAUUUCCAAUAAGUUGGUUGCUCACUCCAUUGUUCCGGAGAACGGAGUCUUGGUCAUUUUGCCCAUGAGGCAUGGUUCGCACGUGUCAAAUGAUUCAUAAUCAAGAGACUCCAAAAGUCCAUCUGCAUGGAGUUUCUUCAUACGUUUGACACCAAUGUGACCAAGGCGGCAGUGCCACAAGUAUGUGGGACUAUCAUUAUCAACCUUACAUUUCUUGGCAUUCACACUAUGAAUAUGUGUAACAUCACGUUCGAGGUUCAUUAAGAAUAAACCAUUGACCAGCGGGGCAUGACCAUAAAACAUAUCUCUCAUAUAAAUAGAACAACCAUUAUUCUCUGAUUUAAAUGAGUAGCCAUCUCGCAUCAAACGAGAUCUAGAUACAAUGUUCAUGCUCAAAGCUGGCACUAAAUAACAAUUAUUGUGGUUUAAAACUAAUCCCGUAGGUAAAUGUAGAGGUAGUGUGCCGACGGCGAUCACAUCGACCUUGGAACCAUUCCCGACGCGCAUCGUCACCUCGUCCUUCGCCAGUCUCCGCUUAUUCCCCAGCUCCUGCUUUGAGUUACAAAUAUGAGCAACCACACCGGUAUCAAAUACCCAGGAGCUACUACGAGCGCUGGUUAGGUACACAUCAAUAACAUAUAUAUCACAUAUACCUUUUGUAUUGCCGGCCUUCUUAUCCGCUAAGUACUUGGGGCAGUUCCGCUUCCAGUGACCGUUUCCCUUGUAAUAAAAUCACUCAGUCUCAGGCUUGGGUCCAUUCUUUGUCUUCUUCCCGGCAGCUUGCUUACCGGGCGCGGCAACUCCCUUGCCGUCUUUCUUGAAGUUCUUCUUACCUUGCCUUUCUUGAACUUAGUGGUUUUAUUCACCAUCAACACUUGAUGUUCCUUUUUGAUCUCCACCUCCGCUGAUUUCAACAUUGAAUAUACCUCAGGAAUGGUCUUUUCCAUCCCCUGCAUAUUGAAGUUCAUCACAAAGCUCUUGUAGCUAAGUGGGAGUGACUGAAGGAUUCUGUCAACGACCGCAUCAUCCGGGAGAUUAACUCCCAGCUGAGAUAAGCGGUUGUGCAACCCAGACAUUUUGAGUAUGUGCUCGCUGACAGAACUAUUCUCCUUCAUCUUACAACUGUAGAACUUGUCAGAGACUUCAUAUCUCUCGACCCGGGCAUGAGCUUGGAAAACCAUUUUCAGCUCUUGGAACAUCUCAUAUGCUUCGUGCUGCUCGAAACGCUUUUGGAGCCCCGGUUCUAAGCUGUAAAGCAUGCCGCACUGAACUAGGGAGUAAUCAUCAACACGUGUUUGCCAGGCGUUCAUAACGUCUUGGUUUGCUGGGACGGGUGCUUCACCUAGCGGUGCUUCAAGGACAUAUGCUUUCUUGGCAGCUAUGAGGAUGAUCCUCAAGUUCCGGACCCAGUCCGUAUAGUUGCUACCAUCAUCUUUCAGCUUGGUUUUCUCUAGGAACGCGUUGAAGUUGAGGUUGACAUUAGCGUGGGCCAUUUGAUCUACAAGACAUAUUGUAAAGAUUUUAGACUAAGUUCAUGAUAAUUGAGUUCAUCUAAUCAAAUUAUUAAUGAACUCCCACUCAGAUAGACAUCCCUCUAGUCAUCUAAGUGAUACAUGAUCCGAGUCAACUAGGCCGUGUCCGAUCAUCACGUGAGACGGACUAGUCAUCAUCGGUGAACAUCUUCAUGUUGAUCGUAUCUGCUAUACGACUCAUGUUCGACCUUUCGGUCUCUUAUGUUCCGAGGCCAUGUCUGUACAUGCUAGGCUCGUCAAGUCAACCUAAGUGUAUUGCGUGUGUAAAUCUGGCUUACACCCAUUGUAUGCGAACGUUAGAACCUAUCACACCCGAUCAUCACGUGGUGCUUCGGAACAACGAACCUUCGCAACGGUGCACAGUUAGGGGAAACACUUUCUUGAAAUUUUAGCAAGGGAUCAUCUUAUUUAUGCUACCGUCGUUCUAGGCAAAUAAGAUAUAAAACAUGAUAAACAUCACAUGCAAUCAAAUAGUGACAUGAUAUGGCCAAUAUCAUUUUGCUCCUUUUGAUCUCCAUCUUCGGGGCGCCAUGUUCAUCAUUGUCACCGGCAUGACACCAUGAUCUCCAUCAUCAUGAUCUCCAUCAUCGUGUCUUCAUGAAGUUGUCUCGCCAACUAUUACUUCUACUACUAUGGCUAACGGUUAGCAAUAAAGUAAUGUAAUUACAUGACGUUUCAGUUGACACGCAGGUCAUAAAUAAAUUAAGACAACUCCUAUGGCUCCUGCCGGUUGUCAUAGUCAUCGACAUGCAAGUCGUGAUUCCUAUUACAAGAACAUGAUCAAUCUCAUACAUCACAUAUAUCAUUCAUCACAUUCUUCUGGCCAUAUCACAUCACAUGACACAUGCUGCAAAAACAAGUUAGACGUCCUCUAAUUGUUGUUGCAAAUUUUUACGUGGCGGCUAUAGGUUUCUAGCAAGAACGUUUCUUACCUAUGCCAAAACCACAACGUGAUAUGCCAAUUUCUAUUUACCCUUCAUAAGGACCCUUUUCAUCGAAUCCGAUCCGACUAAAGUGGGCGAGACAGACACCCGCUAGCCACCUUAUGCAACUAGUGCAUCUCAGUCGGUGGAACCUGUCUCACGUAAGCGUACGUGUAAGGUCGGUCCGGACCGCUUCAUCCCACGAUGCCGCCGAAUCAAGAUAAGACUAGUAACGGCAAGUAAAUUGACAAAAUCGACGCCCACAACAACUUGUGUUCUACUCGUGCAUAGAAACUACGCAUAGACCUAGCUCAUGAUGCCACUGUUGGGGAUCGUUGCAGAAAUUAAAAAAAAUUUACGCAUCACCGAGAUCAAUCUAUGGAGUCAUCUAGCAAUGAGAGAGAGAGAGAGGAGUGCAUCUACAUACCCUUGUAGAUCGCGAGCAGAAGUGUUCAAGAGAACGGGGUUGAUGGAGUCGUACUCGUCGUGAUCCAAAUCACCGAUGAUCCUAGCGCCGAACGGACGGCACCUCCGCGUUCAACACACGUACGGAGCGGAGACGUCUCCUCCUUCUUGAUCCAGCAAGGGGGAAGGAGAAGUUGAUGGAAAUCUAGCAGCACGACGGCGUGGUGGUGGAAGCAGCGGGAUUCCAGCAGGGCUUCACCAAGCGCUACUGGAGGAGGAAGAGGUGUCACGGGAGGGAGAGGGAGGCGCCAGGGCUUAGGGUGCGGCUGCCCUCCCUCCCCUCCACUAUAUAUAGGGGCUAGGGGGGCACAUGCCCCCUUUGAAGANNNNNNNNNNNNNNNNNNNNNNNNNNNNNNNNNNNNNNNNNNNNNNNNNNNNNNNNNNNNNNNNNNNNNNNNNNNNNNNNNNNNNNNNNNNNNNNNNNNNNNNNNNNNNNNNNNNNNNNNNNNNNNNNNNNNNNNNNNNNNNNNNNNNNNNNNNNNNNNNNNNNNNNNNNNNNNNNNNNNNNNNNNNNNNNNNNAUGCCCCCUCGGGGGGCAACGGCCCCCUAGGGUUUCCAACCCUAGGCGCCUUGGGCCCUUGGGUGGGGUGCACCAGCCCACCAGGGGCUGGUUCCCACGCCACUUCAGCCCAUGGGGCCCUCCGGGAUAGGUGGCCCCACCAGGUGGACCCCCGGGACCCUUCCGGUGGUCCCGGUACAAUACCGGUGACCCCCGAAACUUUCCCGGUGGCCGAAACUGGACUUCCUAUAUAUAAAUCUUUACCUCCGGACCAUUCCGGAACUCCUCGUGACGUUCGGGAUCUCAUCCGGGACUCCGAACAACAUUCGGUUAACCGCAUAUUAAUAUCUCUACAACUCUAGCGUCACCGAACCUUAAGUGUGUAGACCCUAUGGGUUCGGGAAUCAUGCAGACAUGACCGAGACACCUCUCUAGCCAAUAACCAACAGCGGGAUCUGGAUACCCAUGUUGGCUCCCACACGUUCCACGAUGAUCUCAUCGGAUGAACCACGAUGUCGAGGAUUCAAGCAAUCCCAUACACAAUUCCCUUUGUCAAUCGGUAUGUUACUUGCCCGAGAUUCGAUCGUCGGUAUCCCAAUACCUCGUUCAAUCUCGUUACCGGCAAGUCACUUUACUCGUUCCGUAAUGCAUGAUCCCGUGACUAACUACUUAGUCACAUUGAGCUCAUUAUGAUGAUGCAUUACCGAGUGGGCCCAGAGAUACCUCUCCGUCAUAUGGAGUGACAAAUCCCAGUCUCGAUCCGUGCCAACCCAACAGGCACUUUCGGAGAUACCUGUAGUGCACCUUUAUAGCCACCCAGUUACGUUGUGACGUUUGGUACACCCAAAGCAUUCCUACGGUGUCCGGGAGUUGCACGAUCUCAUGGUCUAAGAAAAUGAUACUUGACAUUAGAAAAGCUUUAGCAAACGAACUACACGAUCUAGUGCCAUGCUUAGGAUUGGGUCUUGUCCAUCACAUCAUUCUCCUAAUGAUGUGAUCCCGUUAUCAAUGACAUCCAAUGUCCAUGGUCAGAAAACCGUAACCAUCUAUUGAUCAACGAGCUAGUCAACUAGAGGCUCACUAGGGACAUGUUAUGGUCUAUGUGUUCACACAUGUAUUAUGGUUUCCGGAUAACACAAUUAUAGCAUGAACAAUAGACAAUUAUCAUGAACAAGGAAAUAUAAUAAUGACCAUUUUAUUAUUGCCUCUAGGGCAUAUUUCCAACAGUGAAGGGAGGGGGAAUGGCUGAGUCUAGGACGACCAGACGGUGGCCAAGAGGAAGGAGUGCAGCGGCUCCUGCUGCCGGAGUGUGUUGCUGUCGCGUCCGCCGCUUGCGCAUAUCUGAGUCGCCGCCNNNNNNNNNNNNNNNNNNNNNNNNNNNNNNNNNNNNNNNNNNNNNNNNNNNNNNNNNNNNNNNNNNNNNNNNNNNNNNNNNNNNNNNNNNNNNNNNNNNNNNNNNNNNNNNNNNNNNNNNNNNNNNNNNNNNNNNNNNNNNNNNNNNNNNNNNNNNNNNNNNNNNNNNNNNNNNNNNNNNNNNNNNNNNNNNNNNNNNNNNNNNNNNNNNNNNNNNNNNNNNNNNNNNNNNNNNNNNNNNNNNNNNNNNNNNNNNNNNNNNNNNNNNNNNNNNNNNNNNNNNNNNNNNNNNNNNNNNNNNNNNNNNNNNNNNNNNNNNNNNNNNNNNNNNNNNNNNNNGGCUAGAUUUGGCGCCGUCUCACCGCGUUCGAUUUCUAUCUCCCGCCAUCCCCAGUCAAUUUCGCCUUGCUCCCUCGUGUGUGAGCUGCAUCCCUUUUGCGCCGCACUCAGCCUGGCUCGCUGGGAACUACCGAUUUAAGGGUUUCCAGUGAACCAGGCUCUGGACUGUUUUAAGGUUCAUGCCGAGCCAACCCACCUCGUAUGCAACCAAAUGCGUUUUUCUUGACCCAACUCAGCCUGGUUGAGGUGUAUGCGGGCUAUCAAAUACGCCCCAGUAUGCCGUGUUCUGCUGUGUCUGUUGGAAUUGCCGUCGGCGCGGCGGUGCCGCAAUCAUGGAGGAAGUACCACAUGGCAUCGGAUCAAGCUGCAUUUGUGAGACGCCAGGGACGCGACGAGGUUUGACAUGGGGUGCAUGCUUAGGUCGUUCUGCAACGAUGGUACCUGGACCUUGGUCUGGCCACCUAUCCCUAAAAAUAUGCCACCACUAAGGGCUAGUUCUGGCUGGUCUUUUUUGUUUGUUUGACCAUAUGCGUCAAGUAGCAGUGUCAGCAAGGAUUUCAUUUGUGCGAGCAUUAGCCAGAAAGAGUGUCCAUCCUCAACUGUUGUUCAACAAUUCACCCGCCAAAAAAAAAGAAAACUGUCGUUCGACAAUCACUGAAGCUUGGGACGGAGCAGAGGAGCUGGUACUAUCAGAGACAGAAACUGUCAUAAACGAGGCCAAUAAGCGAUCCAACCCGCCAAUCAACACAUUAAAGACGAGAUUACUGUCUUAAUACCAGGAGUAAAGAAAUGAAGGGGAACCAGAUGGAGCAUGCUUAGCUCAAUCAGAUAAUUUUGCAAAUCUUCAGAAACGCAGACUGCGAGUCAUCAGUUCAAACUGAAAAGCCAUCGUCACACAAACAAAUGCGAGUAGUACGGGCACAUGUAUGAAUAUAAUUCACUCAGGAAUCCAAUAACUUCCUAUCAUAUGAAGAUUACCAAUAGUCAGAUAAGUGUUAGAAGUUUCUUUUAUUGAUUGGUGUACAUGAUUUUUCUGCCUUUUCCAUGCCAGGGUUGAAACCAUAAACCACAGCCAAGUUUAUAGCGACCAAUUUACAAUAAAUCAAAAUUCACCAAAUUGACCUGAUACAAACUGGACACCGUCUCUGAACAAUUGAAGAGCAUAUAUAUAUAUAUAUAGACCACUAAAAACAUAUAUGUAUCCGACGACCAAAACGAAAAUUCUAGGCAGGGCCAUGUCCCCUCGGCACCGCUCCUAAAAAUGUGCAACGAGUAUGAGGCGAACGACCGCCGCUGCCAUCCCGGUUCGAUCCAUCAUACAGUGUAGUGGUGGUUGUCGACGGUCUCCAUGUCGAGGCCCUUGAGCCUCACCGCAGACUCCACCCUUCCCUUGAGCGUGCUGAGCUCGCGCAGCCUGGCCAUCUCCGCCCGGCGCUUGGCCUGCUCGGCUAUCUCCGAGAGCUCGCCGUAGUUGCUCCUCUCCUGCGGCGUGCUGUCUGGGUCCGCCGUCGGCAGGCCGUGCAGUGUCCGCUGCGCCGUCGCCCACUGCAGCUCCCGCUUCUCCUUCCCGUAGUCCUUCUUGUUCGUGAAGGCGAUCUGUUUGUUUCACCACACAUGUUAAGCCGGGGUCACCUAAGAAACGUUGGUGCAUGACCUUGAGAUCAUUACAAUCCAUGGUGUACCUUGUUCUCGAAGAGGGUGUCCCAUGCCUUGCCGCUGAGCGCGUAGCCGAUGGCGAACUUGAAGAGGUCCAAGGGGAUGAAGGUGAUGAUGCUGUAGAGCCAGAUCACGCCGGCCCAGCCCCAGCCGAUGCCUCUGAUGUGCGCAAACGGCAAGUUGCAGUACACGGCGAUGACGGUGGCGAUCUGCAAUGGCAACAACAGCAAUAGUUGAGUUGCAGUUGCAGAUGAAACGAAAACACUCCAUUGUUGCAGGGAGGCCGUGGUGGGGUGGGCUUACGAUCUGCGCGACGACGAAGGCGAAGCAGAGCCAGAGCCCCGGGCGCUCCUGGAAGCACCAGCGGCGCGACCGGGUGACGAAGAUGAGGGCCUGGCUGAUGAUGCUCACUUGAAGGUAGAGGGCGGACAUCAUCGCAUCCUUGUUGCCCCUUAGGGAAUGCACGUGGAACUUCUCCUGCAAUUAUAUAGGAAACAAACAGGAAAAUUCAGCAUAUAUUGUCUGUAAAACAGCAUGAACCACGCCCAUAAAUUGUUCAGUUUGGAGGGAUUAGACAUGGCAUGGAUUGAAACAACACUCACGCUGAAGAAGUCGGUGCUGGUCAUGGCGAAGAAGAAGACCACGGUCGUCACGGCAAGGUAGGCGCCGUAGACGAUGCCGGUGAUGAAGAUCUCCGGCAGCUUCCAGCUAUCUGGGUGUGGGGAUGGCUUCACUCUGUCCUUGGAGAUGGUCAUGAUUGUGCCUGAGUUGAGUAAAUCAAUAAAACAAAUGAGUAAUGGACAUUAACAUGUCUGGCAUAAUGAAGUUGAGACCCACCGUCGUUGAGAAUGGCGAUGACCAGGAUCAUAAACGGCGAGAAAUCGAACUUCCAAAUCAGCGCGAUCAGCAUAAACCCUAGCUGCAGUUCAGUUCCACGGCACAAAACGAAUUAAAUCAAGUCCAUGUACAUACCUACCAGUAUAAGAGCGGUUAAUAAAUUCAGAAUAAUUUGACUUACCACUAUACGGAUGGUGAUGGACACCGCGUAAAUCUAGGACAUUAACAACAAGGGCACAAGGAACAGUCAGAGUUAUUUGAACAAAAUACUAGUAGUGUCAAAAACGCUCUUACAUUAUGGGACGGAGGGAGUACUGUAGAAUGUUAGUGAGUUUUGGGAGAAUGCUCACGGUGUAGUUCUUCAUCCUCUGGAAGAUGGCACGGCUAGUCAGCACGGCGCUGAUGAUGACGCUGAGCCCCGGUUCGGUGAGCACGAUGUCCGAUGCGCUCCUGGCGGCGUCGGUGGCGUCGGCCACCGCAAUGCCAAUGUCGGCCUUCUUCAGAGCUGGCGCGUCGUUCACGCCAUCGCCGGUCAUCCCGCAGAUGUGCUUCAUCUGCUGCAGCUUCUUGACGAUCUCGUACUUGUGCUCGGGGAAAACACCGGCGAACCCAUCGGCCUUCUCGAUGAGCUCGUCAACGGGGAGCGACACGAUGGACUCGUCGACGCUCUGGCCGAGAAGGGCGGAUGAGGGGUACAUGUUGGUGCCCAUGCCGAGCCUCCUGCCCGUCUCCUUGGCGAUGGCCAGCUGGUCGCCGGUGAUCAUCUUGACGUUGACGCCGAGAUUGAGCGCCUGCUUGAUCGUCUCGGCGCUGUCGUGCCUGGGCGGGUCGAGGAGCGGCAGAAGGCCGACGAACUCCCAUGGCCCCCCGGAGCUGUCCUUGCUCUUCUCCGGCACCUCCUGCCUGGCUACCGCGAGGGACCGGAGGCCGCGCUCGGCGUACUUGUCGAUGAUGGCGUGCGCCUUGUUCUUGACAUCGUCUCUGCAGUUGCACAGUUCCAAGAUCUGCUCGGGAGCACCCUUGCUGACACGGUGCCACGUGCCGUCGGCGACGUCUUGGUAGGUGAGCGCGGUUCGCUUGUCGACGGGGUUGAAGGGGAGGAAGUGCAUCUCCAGGAUGCCAGCCCUGGCCUCCUUUGGGUCGGCGAGCAUGCCGACCAUGGCAGCGUCGAUGGCAUCCUGGUUCUCCACUCUGGAUGCCAUGGCGGCGAAAAGCAAGACCUCGUCCUUGGCGACGCCAACGGCGAACACCUCGAUGAGGUUGCGGUCGACGCUGAGCUUGUUGAGGGUGAGCGUGCCCGUCUUGUCGCUGCAGAGCACGUCCAUGCCGGCCAUCUCCUCGAUGGCCGUCAUGCGCUUAGUGAUGGCGCCCUGCUUCGACAGCCGGUGGGAGCCGAUAGCCAUGGUGACCGACAGCACAGUGGGCAUCGCGAUCGGGAUGCCGCCGAUGAGGAGCACGAGAAGGUUGUCGAUGCCGUCGCGGUACCGGCGGUGCUGGAUGAAGUACAUGACGAUGAUCUCGACGAUCAUGCCGAUGGCGAUGGCGCCGAUGCAGAAGUUGCCGAUGGCGCGGAGCACCUUCUGGAAGUGGCCGACCUGGUUGGUGCUGUCGACGAGGUGCGCCGCCUUGCCGAAGAAGGUGUGCACGCCGGUGGCGAUGACGACGGCCUCGAUCUCGCCCUGCUUGCACGUGGAGCCCGAGUAGACGCUGUCGCCGGGGUUCUUGGUGACGGGCAGCGACUCGCCCGUGAGCGCCGACUGGUCGAUCUUGAGCGGGUCUCCCUCGAGCAGGAGGCGCGCGUCGGCCGGGACAAUGUCGCCGAGCUUGAUGCUGAUGAUGUCGCCGGGCACGAGGAUGGAGGCGUCCUGCUCGCUCCACCUGCCGUCGCGGAGCACCUUGGUCUUGGGGGCGAGGUUGGCCAUGAGCGCCUUGGCCGAGCUGCCGGCGUUGCUCUCCUCGAUGUAAGAGAUGGUUGAGUUGAGCAGGAGCAGCGCGAUGAUGCCGACGAAGUCCUGCCAGUCCGGUGGCCUGCCGCCGCCGUUGGCCAGCGCGAUGGCCAUGAUGGCCGCCACCUCCAUCACCCACGACAGCGGGUUCCACAUGAACCCCAGGAAUUUGAGGAUCUCGCUCUCCUGCGCACGCCAUUGCCGUUAGAAACUUGCACGACGCAAUCUAUCUAGAAAUCCUAACGAAGAUGGUAUAAAUUUCAGCAACGAAAUCAAGAACUAAUUCGCUUCAAACAAUAUCCAUCUAAGAAGUAAUGAAUUACACCGAACCUUUUUCUCUUCGAGUUUGUUGGGGCCGAAGACGGCGAUGCGGUCCUGGCCAUCCUUGGAGGUGAGGCCUGCCGGGCUGCACUGGAGGUUCUCGAACACCUCCUCCACAGGGAUGUUCUCCUGCAAUGCACGCACAGAUUAGCCAAGAAAACGACUGGAUUCGCAUGCACUAACUGAAUUUCAUCUUCGGAUAGAGACGGCUAAUCAAUGGCGCUGAUAAGAGAUUAGAUGGGAAAAAGCGCGAGGUGGUUGUAGAUCACAAAAAGUGCAAAAAAAGAGGGAGAGAAACAAAGACGAUCGGUGUGGUGCCGCUCAACUCGCCCGUGAAGCCAACAAUAAAAGCACAGCCAGAUCGAUGCAUCUUGGGUUACAUGAACGAUCCGUGAAGUGAUAAUGGCAUAGAACAAGAUUGGAUCUACGCUUACAUCUUCUCCAUUUUAAUUAUCAUUAGUAGGUUUAGAAUUAUCAUUUAGCAGGUUUUCCUAAUGAUCUUUACACGAUGCAUAGAACAUGUAACAACUUAUAACAGAUAAAAACACGCAUAGAAAAGUUGGCAAGAACUCGCUUGCAUUAUACUGCAGGAAAACUAGCGAGGUUGGCUCACCAAGUCGACGGCCUCGUUCUUGAUCCGCUCCAGACCUUCGGCCGCCGCCGCCGCCAUCUUGCUCGCCGACGGGGAGCCCCGGAGGCCGCGGCGUCCAACUAUGCACGUACGUAUACGUAGUAUCCAAACCGAAGGUGGGGCUUUUGCCGAAGCAGCCGCGUUUGGUUUUAUAGCUGGAUGGAUGGAAGGACGGUGGGGGCGUCGUGUGGGCCACUCCGUCCUAUUCAAAUCAGCUACCACCAGAUUUACUCCUUAUCCCAUUCCCUCAAAAACGAAAAAAAAAAUUCCUUAUCUCUUCUUCUGCUUUUACUUUGUCGUUGUUGAUUGACGAUGUAAGUCUGGUUUAAUUUAAUAAAGUAAGCCAUGAUGUCAAUUCCUAAAAAAAUAAAGUUUAUUAAUAUUUUUCAGUUUGUGAAUAUUUUUUAAAUUUGAUACCUUUAUUUCAAAUUCGCAAACUUUUUGAAAUCUACGUUUAAAAAAUCAUGUUACUUUAAUUUGAGAAAACUUAAAUAUUUUGUAAAUGUGUGUACAUCUUUUGAUUUGAUGAACUUUUCAUAUAAUAAUACGGUAGCCGGCUUUUUAUGAGCUAGCAGUGGAGUGAGCGAAAAUAAAACCUGGGCGAGGGGAACUUUGUGGGCUGAUCCAUGUGAACAUAAUAGCAGCAAUUUACUAUUUCAGCGUGGAAUAUGAGCUCCCAAGAUGAUCUAGAAAAAGGCUUUCAAGAGGCUCACACAACAACCAUCGGCUCACACCAAGGCCGAAACAUGCAAAGACACUACAAUCACACAUCAUCCGAUUCCACUCUCUCAUUUCAGAACAAACAAUAUCUCUAACAACGGUUCAUCACGAUAUACGAAUGAAAAAAACAUGGUCAGAACAUAAAUUAAACCCAACCCAACACAGAUAAAAGAAAAAUACCGACCAUACUAACCCGUUAGAGAAAAAACGACAUCCCACCAAUGAAGAACGGGGCAGCAAAGCAUGGCUUAGCCUCCAGUGAUAAAGUAAACGUCAGUGAUCUUUGCUUCUUCAAAUGUGUAUCAAAGGCAACUUUGACGAGCAUGUCCUUGGUAAUAAAAGUGGCUCAUGGGAAGUUUCCUAAUUCGAGCCAUGCGUGUAUGCAUGCUGCUGGCCGGGCACCACACAGAGGCAAGGGAUAUACUCCAAAUGGACCAUAUAUAUUCACAUGUGUAGACGCUUUGCUUGUCCUCUCGUACAUACCCUUUAUUCUUAGCUCGGGUGCCCUAGCUACGUGCCUCUUGUCCAGCCACUUUGGCUGGCCAUCCCUUUCUUGUCGAAUCAUUCCUAGCUUGGUUAUUUGCAGUGCAAAGAGAAGCGAACAUCCAUACCAACACGCAAAGAUGGGUGCAUAGAUAAAAAAAAAACUAGUACGGACAUAGAUUCCAGCUUUCCGUUCCAUAAUCUAUUACUUGCUUUAUUAAAACGUUUUUCAAGCAUGCAUUUAUAGAUAUAAGAAUGUAUGCAGGGUUGUAGUGUAACACAGCUGCCGCGACAACGAGAGAGAAAGAAGAACAAGAGGAGGCUCGUUUUGACUCUGGGGUGCAUAUGCUCCCUAAUGAACAAUAAAUUCAAAAUAAAUAAUAAAUAAAAUUUAUAAUUCUGUUUUUCUGUAGAUGGUCUUGGUAGUGUAACAAGUCUGCUUGUCAAUUUUCAUGCGAAAUGGGUUGACGGUGCUUUGUCGGUGAAAAAAACAAAAAUAAAUGUAAAAUUUGAAGGUAACAUUUGUUGUUCGACAUUUUUUUUGCAGAUAUCAAAAUACUUAAGCUUUCCUGCCGACAAUUUGCAGGCAGCGUUUUGGUGUGACAAUGAACGCAUCUUUUUUUCAAUUUUUUUGAACAUAUGCAAAAAAAAACAUUUUUGGUGGGCAGAAGCAUAUGCUCUGAAGAGCCAAAUUGGAUUUCCAAAACAAGAGGUCUAUUAUUUGUCCGAUUAACAAUGAAUUCACACACAAGUUUUUUCUCUAGGGUUUGCUAGAGACGAGGCGACUAGGAGGCAACUAGCUCUUACAGCGAGAGGGUAGCACAACCCUGGAUCCUAGUGUCCCAGUUCGUUUCUCAUAAGUUCUUCGCCAUGGAUGAAGUUGGGCACUCACGACGAUGGGAAUAAGGGCAGCUUCAACGCUAUACCUCAAACCGCCCCUAAACAUUUGGACUGCGGUGCCCUGAUGUUUUUUUUUUGCCAUCCAACGCCGUGUCUCAAAUGUUUGAACGCCCAUGUCCGUGGGGCAGGAACGGGCGUCACCUUUUCGUUUGAUGAAGACAUCGCCUCAAGUCUUUGUUAAAGUCUUCUUGGUGAUGUUUAAAUUUGCUCAUUGCCUGUUUGAUUCAUCUUCCUGCUAAUAAAUACUAUCAAAGAUAUCUACCUUUUCUUGUUUUACUUGCUCAACAAUUUUACACUUUUCUUUUACCUUUCUGAAUUCAUUCAUGUCUUCAACAUGGUAAACUUUUUCUGAGAACUUAGUUGGUUCUUCAGUAUACCUUUCUUUGCUGCAAGCACCAUCGCAUGUGUUAGGAAGGUGACCGCCUCAUCCAAGUUCUUUGUUUCCCUCCAGAAAUCAGAGAACUUCAUGUUCAACUUCUCCAUUUCCUCUCCGAUGGCUAUGUUUUUUGUUCCUUCGCCCGACGCCUUGGUUUCGUUAAGGCUCGUCAUUGCUGAGAGGGCAUUUCCCGACUUAAGUGUUUUGGUGUUGAUGACAACGCAAUUUGCGGACUAACCGUGUGCCUAAGCUACCCAUGUAUUAUUAUACGACACAAGACGGUUGGACACCCCUCCAGAUGGAAAAGAGCGAAUACGGCAUUUUCGACGCAUUUUAUUUCUUUGGUUGUAGGAAAUCCAUACUAUUAAGAGGGGGUCCGCAUCGGAAGGUAGAGGUGGAUUCAAACAUGUACACAAAUACAUAUUGCACUCACGAUAUAGCCUUUCAUUUUGAGGAGAGACUCAACAUGGCACCCGCAGGGUUCGGGUGCAGGUAAUGCUCAACAAAACCCGCACCAAACCUGUACCUGUACCCGCACCCGCACCUUGGGUUUCAUAUUGUUCCCAUACCCGUACCCGGCCGGGUGCGAGUAAUACCCAUGGGUAAAAAUACACAUCUCCGUCACCUUUGAAUUCACAUUUUACCAUGUAUAAUUACAAUAUUUCUGUAUGUCAAACACAACAUUUAAGCAUGUAUAUGUAGCAUUUCAGGCGAGGCGAGAUGGGGAGAUGGGGUUUGUGUCCUGUAAGUGGGACGACACAAUGGGUGGGUGAGGGGAGGGGACUUUGUGUGCGGGUUGGGGCUGGGUUAGGCGAGGGUUUUCCCUUUACUAGUGAAUGACAUAGGGAACCUACCAACAAGAUGUACUAAUAUGCGGGUAGGCGGGUACAUGGGUAUGGGUAUUGCCUUCCCAUACCCAUACACGCCUUACCCGUUGGGUACAUUUUUUCCCAUUUAGAAACCCAUGGGUAUUUAACUUUCCCAAACACUUAUCCAACUAGGGUUUUUACCCGUCCGGUUCACGGGUAGCGGGUACCCAUUGCCAUAUGCAGGAGAGACCCUCAAGUCUAACUACCACAUGAGAUUGCACCCAAGCGAUCGUGACUCUGAGCUCCAGUUGUACCACUCCCUUAGCGGAUAGUGCACCUCGGAGCCCUGCUCUUGGCGGUUGUAUCGGCUACUAUGGCGGUUGUCCCGCUUAGUCCUUGAACGAUACUACCGACCCUAGUACCUCUCUAACUACCGCCGGAAGGGUGAUUUGUAGAUGUCUAGAGGGGGGGGGGGUGAUUAGACUACUUGACCAAAUAAAACCCAACAUUUCCCCAAUUUUAGUUGUAGGCGGAUUUUAGCAAUUCUACCAAGUCAAGUAUCACCCUACACAUGCAAUUCUAAGAAUGUAGCAGUGGAAAGUAAAACAUUGCACGUGUAAGUAAAGGAGGGGUUCGGAGAUUGCAAACGCAAUGAAGACACGAUGAUUUUUGGCGUGGUUCCGAUAGGUGGUGCUAUUGUAUGUCCAUGUUGAUGGAGACUUCAACCCAUGGAGGGUAACGGUUGCGGGAGUCCAUAGAGGGCUCCACCCACAAAGGGUCAACGAAGAAGUAACCUUGUAUAUUCCACUAUGGCUUACGUCCACGAAGGACUAGCCUCACUCGGGUAGAUCUUCACGAAGUAGGCGAUCUCCUUGCCCUUACAAACUCCUUGGUUCAACUCCACAUGAUCUUAGAGGCUCCAAUGUGACACCUAACCAACCUAGGAGACAACACUCUCCAAAAGGUAAUAGAUGUUGUGUUGGUGAUGAAAUCCUUGCUCUUGUGCUUCAAAUGAUAGUCUCCUCAACACUCAAUCUCUCUCUCACGGAUUUGGCUUGGGUAGGAUAAGGAUUAGAGUGGAAAGCAACUUAAAGAGGCUAGAAAUCAAGGUUCAGAUGGUAGGAAUGGAAUCUCUUGAUCUCAACACAUGAGCAGGUGGUUCUCUCAAAGAAAAUGAAUGGUGGAAGUUGUGUUUCGUCCUGAUGGCUCUCCCACUGAGUAAGAGGGGGUGGAGGGGUAUAAAUAGCCUCCAAUGAAAUCCAACCGUUACACACAUUUGACCAAACUCGCUGGCACCGACUGGAAUUCUCGGUGAUACCAACCUGUGCAAAAGAUAUGAACGUUGGAGGUCUUGAUGGGACCGAAUGGAUCAUCUCGGUGGGACCGAAGUGCAAUGGCAAAGGCAGAACCACGUCUCGGUAAUUCCGAUCAGUUUCACUCGGUGAUUCCGAAAUGAAGUGAUUUCAUCACAAAAACUUGGUCAGGCCAUCUUGGUGGGACCGAGAGCCAUUUCGGUCAGACCGAAAUGCUAGGGUAUUGGCUGUGGCAGUAGGAGGAUCAUCUCGGUGGGUCCGGAAUGGAAUGUAUCGGUGGGACCGACAUGAUGAAUUGGGGUUUCGGACAGAUGUGUUUUGGGAAAGUGUCUGACAGUUUUUGGAGCAAUUUUACUGAGCACUUUGAGCAACGACCUCAUCAACAAUACCUCACCCCCUUUUAAUAGUAUUGGCUUUCCUAAGGGACUCAAUGUGAUCUUGGAUCACUAAACCAAAAAUGUAGAGUCUUGGGGUAGCCAACUUUGUUCUUCACAUUUUGAGCGGUCCACAUCCAUUAGUACAUGCCAUGCCAAUCAUUGAUCUUUUCUGAAGUCUAUCAUCAAUGUUCAUUAGAUCAAUGACAUAUAUGUUGUUAUUAAUUACUAAAACCACCCGGGGAUUAGUUGCACUUUCAUGACUCCUCUCGGUGUGGGGCAGCGGUACACGACGGUGGCUGGAUGAUUGUUCCGGUUAUUUUCAUAAUAUUCCCCUAGCGGCAGUACUGCACGGGACUCAACUAGCCACUGGUGCAUGCUUGUGGGGGUGGUUGUAUCAUCGCAUGUACCACCCCAACUACCGCUUGAGGGUGAUUCCUCCCGGUUUGGUGGCACGAUACUGGGUAGUGGUGAAAGGACCACGAUGUUGCCUAGAGGGGGGGGUGAAUUAAAAGUCAUUUUUUUUAACUUCUAUGGAUUUGGCUUUAUCCUAAUGAGGAAAUAAACUAAGAGGAUACUUGCCAAGCACAAAUACUAAAUAUAUUAGGCUCAAUUAAGUGCAUCAGUGACUUAAUCUAAAAGAGAUGAGCACAACAAGGAUACUAACAAGCACAAGUAAGUUACACAAACUUACUUGAGCAAUAUCACAAGGGAAGUGUAUGACACAAAUUAGCAAUUCACAAUAAGCACAAGAUAUAUCAAUAGUAGCAAGUAUGAAUUGCAAAAUGUAAAGUGUAGGCCUAAAUAACCUCUACGAGGAAAUAGCCAAUACAAUAUAAUGAGGACAAUGAGAUAUAGUGAAUCCACGGUCAAGUGACCAAAGUAAACCACAAGUAGAGAAAUGGGGUUAGGGAUAACCGAAGUCACAGAGACAAGGAUGUAUCCCGAUGUUCACUUUCUUGGAGGGAAGCUAGUCACCGUUAGAGAGGUGGAUGUUACCAUAAAGGCACACCAACGCCAUGAAGGCUCACCCUAUUCUUCUUAAGAUAUCACCACGAAGGCGAUUCCCAACCACUAGUGAUAGACCUUGAGGCGGCCUCCAAACCUUCACAAACUUUUCAAGGGACAAAUAAAAAGUUGAUUCCUCACAGGAGUAGGAGUCUCCAACCUCCAAGAGUAACUAGAUCAAGCGGGAAAUACUCAAGACAUUCUCAAAUCACGAAUUGCUUCGGUCAAAAGCAAGAGAAGGAUUGGAUCUAUGCUUGGGUGAAAUCUCUCUCAAUAACUCUCACAAAUCUCUCCGGGAUCUAAGAUUUGAAGUAGGAGAAAGGAGAGGGAGCUUUUCUUAGAUGUGGGUCGAUAUUUGUGUUGCUCAACCCCUUCACGAAGUGGUGAAGGGGUAUAUAUAGGCUAGUAGGAAAACUGGUCAUUUGUCAUGUUUUUCUGUAAGUGCCCGGAUGUACGGGUAGCAACCCGGAUGAUAUGGGUAGGGACCCGGAUGAUCUGGCCAGGUCAACUUAGCACAGCCGUGUAGNNNNNNNNNNNNNNNNNNNNNNNNNNNNNNNNNNNNNNNNNNNNNNNNNNNNNNNNNNNNNNNNNNNNNNNNNNNNNNNNNNNNNNNNNNNNNNNNNNNNNNNNNNNNNNNNNNNNNNNNNNNNNNNNNNNNNNNNNNNNNNNNNNNNNNNNNNNNNNNNNNNNNNNNNNNNNNNNNNNNNNNNNNNNNNAUGCCCGGACGAUCCGACUACUUGUCUGGAAAAUAAUAUAUUUUUGUAGCUCUAUUUUAUUAGCAACUGAAUAUAUAGCUCAUGUUCAUGUCAUGUGCAACACACCCGAGUAUGGUGUUAAGCAUGUCUUUGUACAACGGACUUCUUUGAUGAAUCACACUCUCUUUCCUGGUAAUUAUGUGAUGUAUCAAGUGACCUGCUAUUUUACUCUUAUUUGUACAUGAUUCCCUAUUAAACCCUGAAUAUCAAUGGAUUGGUUAUUCGUUUGCUUGUGUUAUGGAUUUUCAAUCAGUUUUGUGUAUAUAUAGAUAUGCAAGCUUCGGAUACAUAAUAUGUAGUUUGUAAAAUUAGGAUGCUAUUGCUUGGGCUGACACGCCUUAUACUGAUAUUAUUAGUUUGUAGUUGAGUUCUCAUCUGCCAAUGUAGUAGAUAUUUUUUAGCUUUAUGAAUUUUCAGAACAGUUAUGUGUAUAUUUACUGUAAUAAACCGCUAUCCAACACCCCCAUUUUUAUUUUUUUAGACCCAUUUUUUCAGAAGCCCACUAACAACAAGUUUUUACAGAAAUUCAUGCAUGUGUACCACUGUAGUAGUAGCCAAAAGUGUCUUGAUUCUCUGUAAAAAAAUAUAUUUUAGUGUUUUCCUUCAAUUCCCUUUUUUAUUCAGAAAGGAGAUUUUUUUGGACUUCACAAAUGACAGUGCUCAUGAUGUUAGACUAGAACUUUUACAGAAUUUAAUUUCUUUUCUUCAGACUAUAAACAACACUACACAGGAAAUCCACAAAUCAACUACUCAUGCAAGGGAGAAUCAGGUUUUUUUGUUGUUGUUGUUUGAUUCGAAUUGUUUACUACUGCAUGAAUGGGUGUAUAGACCUAACUUCUACUCCCUCUGUUCCUAAAUAUAAGUCCUUUAGAGAUUUUAAUAUGAACUACUCCCUCUGUAAAAAAAUAUAAGAGCGUUUAGAUCACUAAAGUAUUGGUCUAAACGCUCUUAUAUUUCUUUAUAGAGGGAGUACAUACGGAGCAAAAUGAGUGAAUCUAUACUCUAAAAUAUGUCUAUAUACAUCUAUAUGUAGUCCGUAUUGAAAUCUCUAAAAAGACUUAUAUUUAAAAACAGAGGAAGUAAUUGAGAGGAGGGGGUUGGGGAUCUGCUUACGGUGGAGAACUAGAUGUAGCAAGUAAUGAAGCAAAUGGGUUAGGAGUGAGAAAGUAGGUAGUGGCUAAGAGCAUCUCUAGCAGACCCCGCAUCCCGCCGGCCGGCAAAACGCGUUUGCAGUUCGCGGAAAACGGCCUUUGCGGCCGACGCGGAUGGCCGCAGAUGUAGACCCGCCAAACGGACCCGUAUAAAAGUAUACUCGCGGAAUAUGCGUUUUUACGGGUCGGCUUUGCGGGGUCUGCUCUUGCACCGCUGCAUCCCGCAUCCCACCGGCCCGCAAAUAUCAAAUCCACAGCACAAAAAUAAAAAUAAACAUCCACACUACAAAGUUGAAAGUGGGUGUUUGCAUUUUCAAUCUCUUUGUAGGUCUUCAGAAAAGCUCUAAUGCGGUUAGGGUCUCUAGCUGGUUUGACACGGCUACCCACAUUGUCGUAGAAGAACUCCAAGUUCGUUCCUCUCUCAUCUUCGAGAAUCAUAUUGCGAAGGAUAACACAACAUGUCAUGAUAUUUUCAAGGUCCUCUUAUCCCAAAAACGAGCAGGACCACGAACAAUGGCAAACCUAGAUUGAAAACCCCAGAUGCUCUUUCAAUGUCUUUUCGGCUGCCUCUUGCACCCUUGCAAAUUCACAAUGUCUUCUAGUUUUGGGAUCUUUGAUGCUCAUGACAAAGGUGCACCAGGGAGGGUAUAUACCAUCUGCAAGAUAGUACCCUUUUGUGUAUUCGUGCCCAUUGAUAGUGUAGUUGCAAGCAGGAGCAUCACCACUAGCAAGCCUAGCAAACAAAUGAGACUGUUGCAACACAUUGAUAUCAUUGAGAGUGCCCGACAUACCAAAGAAGCAAUGCCAAAUCCAUAAAUCCUCGGAUGAUACAACCUCUAGCACAAUUGUUGCACCACCAGACUUGCCACAAUACAUUCCUUGCCAUGCCUUUGGGCAAUUUUUCCAAGUCCAAUGCAUACAAUCAAUGCUACCUAGCAUGCUAGGGCAACCUCUCCUCUCAUUAGAUGCCAUCAAUUUGUUUGUGUCAUCCUCGUUGGGUGCCCGAAGAUACUCAGGACCAAAGACACGGAUGAUCACUUUUGCAAAUCUACGCACUGACUCAAUUGUGUAUCUUCACCAAUGCGAAGGUACUCAUCGGUAUAGUCAGCCGGAACGCCAUAUGCAAUCACCCGCAUAGCUGCGGAGAUUUCUUUUGAUAUGCACUAAAUCCCUUUAAGCCCGCAGCAUUUCUUCUUUGAGUAAAAUACCGACAAUUUGCUUCGCAAGCUUGAACAAUUUUCACAAAGAGGGAUCGGCGCAUUCGGUACCUUCUCCGGAAGAGGUGCGGUGGAUAUGUUGGAUUCUCCGCGAAGUAGUCUUGCAUCAAAAUCUCGUUCCCAAGAUGGCGAUUUCGAGGAAUGCAAAGACGCCCGACGGUCGAUCCUCGCCGCCUCUUCCGGUUUUCAUCUUCGUGCUCCUUCACGGCAAGUGCCAUCACUAAUGUCUGCUGCCGAAAGGUCGCAAGCAUGGUCUCAACAUCCGAGUCGUCAGAAUCGGAGAGCAAGAACUUCUCGCACGGGCUCAAUUCCAUCUACAUGGACAAGAAUCGCACGCCGCAUCAAUCAACUAGGCAUACCGCUCGCAAAUAUCACAAGACAAACACUAACCGGUGGCUCGUGUGGCGGGUGAUCCCGGGCGGCGACGAGGAACGGGCUGGACGACGGUCGAUCCCCGGCGGCGACAGCGACGAGGGGCAGCUCUUCUCGCCGGAUCCAGGGGGUCGGUGCAGCGUAUCAGUGCUGGAGGGUGGGGGACGGCCCCGCAGCACGAUUCCGCCCGCAGAUUUGGCCGGAAUCACCGGCGGCGGACGGGUGGAACCAAAGGCGGGCGGGCGGCGGAAGGAGAUGGGAAAAGGCGAGCGGGCUGAAAUGUCCCUCCCGCCAACCGCUUCACUGGGAUGCGGGGCACCGCAGGGGCGAGAGGGAAACCCGCGUAUUCGCGGGUUGGGGCCGAGAUUUUGCCGCGCCCCUAAAAAAAUUUCGCGGGCCGGCCGCGUUUGCGGGGUCUGUUCAGGCGGGAUUUUCCGCUGUUAGACUAUUAAUUGGCUCUCAAGUUAUCAAGUCCUAGUCGUAUUGUAAUAGGUCUAGUUGGCUUGUAAUCUCUUAUAUAUACCGCUCUAUGCGGCUAGCAAUAAUCAUUAAUAAUAGUUCUAUUCAAUCUUACAUGGUAUCUUAGGGUUUCUGGUCCCAGGGUAUGGCUCCGCCGCCCACCCCACCACCGCUGCCGCCGCCCGGCUACUUCGAGCGCCGGGCCGCUAUCCUCGCCCGCGCCGCCGCCGCGGCUUCCUCCUCCUCUGCCUUAGUUCUACCACAACCACCACCUAUGCCUCCGGUGCUCUCCUUCACCGAUACAAUCUCCGAUAUUAGUCCCUAUAUCCCCAUUACCCUCGAUCUCACCUCCCACAACUACUACCAUUGGCGCCACCUCUUUGAGGUUCACCUCGGGCGCUGCAAUCUUCGCUCCCACGUCGACGCCACCGCCGUGCCGCAAUCCCAUGAUCCCCAAUGGGUCAAGGAUGACCUCGCUAUCAUCCAAUGGAUCUACAUGCGCGUCUCCACCGAGAUCUUCAAUCUCAUCUUCCGGGAAGCCGCCACCGCCACCGGUCUCUGGGCGGCCCUUCAGCAGUUGUUUCAAGACAACGUCGAUGCUCGCACCAAUCUACUCCACACCGAGCUCAGGAAUACGGUGCAAGGCGACUCCUCCCUCAGUGUCUACUGCCAACGCCUCAGGUCCAUCGCCGACGAACUACGUGAACUUGGUGAUCCCGUUGAAGACCGGCAGCUUAUCAACAUCCUCCUCAUCGGGCUCAGCGAACAGUUCGACAAGCAGGCUUCUUUCAUACCAAUGAUGCGGCCCCAGCCAACCUUUGCCGAGGUGCGCUCUAUCCUCCAGUGGGCCGACCGUGCUCAAACCAACAAGGACGCUCGCCCUCAGCUCUUCGCCGCCGUUCCGCGCGGUCCGGCACCCGCGGCGCCACCCGCGGGGUCCCCUUCACCAGCGGUGCCUUCCUCCUCGACCGCGCCCGCUCCACCGCCAGGCUGGCGUCCCAGCCCUAAUUAUCGUGGUAAGAACCCAUCUACCGACCGCCUACGACGCGUUCGGCGCCCACUCCUUCACCGUCGCGGCCCCAAGUGCGCCACCAGUAGCUACGCCACCAACCGCUACGCCUUGGCGUCCUCCACAUGAUCCCUGGACGGGGCUCGUCCAAGCUUGGCCCAUGCCAUGGUCAGCUCCGGCUCCCCUCGGUGCUCCACCGGCUUACACCGGUGCCUGGCAGCCUGGCGUGCGGCCCCAUAUUGGUGCCCCAGGACUCGUCACGCCUCGCCAGCCGACUCACACCUACCAUGCUGCUCCAUCAUAUGGCGCUCCCUACUAUGCUGACGGAGGCCACUACUACACCCCACCAUUGGCUCUACUGCCAUCACCGUCGUACCAGCCGGCUCUGCUGCCAUCGCCUCCACCAUCGGCUCUACUGCCCUCGCCGUCGUACCAGUCGGCAUUGCUGCCAACACUGACAUCUGUUACACCACCAAGCUGGGACCAAGCCGCCUUCAUCCUGGCCAUGAACAAUUUUGACUCCCAAGGAAACACAGGUACGGAUUGGAUUUUCGAUUCCGGUGCUUCUAGUCAUAUGUCUGCAUCUAGUACGUUUCUCUCCUCUUGCACUUCACCACUUUUUAAAUCCAUCACCCUCGGUGACGGUUCUUCUAUACCCAUCUAUUGUGUUGGUCAGGCUCAACUUCCCUCCACCACCAAAACUCUUCUUCUUCGUGAUGUUUUUGUUGCUCCUGCCCUUAUCAAAAAUUUAAUCUCUGUUCGUCAAUUCACAUGUGAUAAUCUUGUUUCUGUCAAAUUUGACCCCUUUGGCUUAUAUGUGAAGGAUUAUCAGACCAUGGUCGAGAUCGCGCGGUUCAAUAGCUCCGGUGACUUAUACUUUCUCAAUGGUGUUCCUGCCGUUGCAUCUCCAACCUCCAUGAUGGCAUCUGUUGAUCUCUGGCAUCGGCGUCUAGGGCAUCCCAACCCUGCAGUUUUAGCAUCUGUCCUUAGUGAAUUUACUAUACCUUGUAAUAGAGAUUCUCACGAUUCCUCCGUUUGUGAGUCAUGCCAAUUAGGCAAGCAUGUGCGUCUUCCUUUUAGUUCGUCUGGCUCUUCAAGCACUUAUCCCUUUGAAUUAAUACAUUGUGAUCUCUAGGCAUCGCCUAUUGCUAGUGUCUCUAGUUUUAAAUACUAUCUUGUCAUAUUAGAUGAUUUUCCACACUUUGUCUGGACCUUUCCUCUCCGCAACAAAUCCGACGUUCAUGCUCUCUUUCUCAAUUUUCAGCGAUACGUCUCCGUGCACUUCUUUCUCCCUAUUCGCUUCAUACAAUGUGAUAAUGGUCGUGAAUUUGAUAAUGUUAAAAAUUGUACAUUCUUUCUUAACCACGGCAUUCUUCUCCAUUUUUCUUGUCCCUACACUUCUCCUAAAAAUGGAAAAGCUGAACGUUCUCUUCGUACUAUAAAUGAUAUUACUCGUACCCUUCUUCAAUCUUCCAUGCCUUCCCAAUACUGGGCUGAGGCUCUCCACACCGCUACAUAUCUUCUCAAUAUCCGUCCUACCAAAGCCAAUCCCAACAUCACCCCCUACUUUUCUCUGUUUCUGUGUCAUCCAAACUACUCCGACAUUCGUGUUUUCGGUUACCUCUGUUUUCCUAACACUUCCGCUACCACCGCUCAUAAGCUCUCUCCCCGCUCUGUCCUGUGUGUUCUCCUUGGUUUUUCGGAUGAACACAAAGGCUAUCGCUGCCUUGACUUUUACACCGGUCGGGUUCUUGUAUCUCGGCAUGUCACCUUUGCCGAACACAUCUUUCCAUUUUCUCAACGUACUUCUCCAUGACACCCCCCCUACUUCCCCACCUAACCAUCCUCCUACUCGUUUCCCUUUUUAUGCUCCUCUCCUGACAUCUCAAUCUCCAAAUAUCUCUUCACCACCAUCCUAGCCAAACGCCCCUACACCACCGACACCCAAUCAUAACCCUCCACCUUCGCCACCUGCAUCCUCGCCCAUACAUACCGAUGCGCCACCAUCCCCUCCCGCACCAUCCCCUCCAGAAUCAUCACCCACACACACUGAUUCCCCACCAUCCCCUCCAUUGUCCGCACCAUCCGCUGUGCCGGACAUCCAUGUCGCUCCCCUUCCCAUUCGCGCUGUUCCCACUAUUCCCUCAGUCAAUGACCAUUCCAUGCGCACUCCUUCAAAAUCAGGUUUUCGUUAACCCAUAGAUCGUCUCAACCUUCACGCCACCCUGUCCUUAUCUCAAGUUCCCAAAUCUUACAAAACUGCGCUUCUUGAUCCUAAUUGGGCUGCAGCUAUGCAAGAAGAAUAUUCAGCCCUUACUGAAAAUAAUACUUGGCAGCUUGUUCCUCGUCCUUCCAACACCAACAUUGUCUCUGGUAAGUGGGUGUUUCGUCAGAAGUUUCACUCUGAUGGUACUCUUUCUUGCUACAAAGCUCAUUGGGUAUGUCGCGGCUAUUCCCAACAACAUGGCAUUGAUUACGAUGAAACUUUCUCUCCUGUAGUUAAGCCUAGUACCAUACACACUGUUCUCAGCCUUGCUCUCUCCUCCACCUGGCCUAUUCACCAAUUAGACGUAAAAAAUGACUUUCUUCAUGGUUCUCUCCAAGAGAUCGUCUACUGUCAACAACCUCUCGGUUUUGAAGACCCUUCUUAUCCCAACCAUGUUUGUCUUCUUCAAGAAUCUCUCUAUGAUCUCAAACAAGCUCCACGUGCAUGGUUUCAACGCUUCUCUUCCUUUAUUCAAACCAUAGGUUUUGUUUCCUCUCUUUCUGACGCUUCUCUCUUUGUCUAUCAUCAUAAUUCUGACAUUGCAUACUUACUUCUUUAUGUUGACGAUAUCAUUCUCACCGCUUCUUCUCAAACCUUUUUGGACCGCAUCAUUACUCAUCUCCGCUCUGAGUUUUCUAUGACAGAUCUUGGUCUUCUUCAUCAUUUUUUAGGCAUUGCAGUGAUUCAUGAUUCAUCAGGUCUUUUUCUUUCCCAACGUCAAUACAUCCUAGAUCUUCUCAACCGUGCUGGUAUGCUAGACUGUCAUCCUUCCCAUACUCCUGUCGACACUAGUUUCAAACUUUCUGCCAAUGGUGAUCCUUUCAAUGAUCCUACUCUUUAUCGUAGUCUUGCUGGUGCUCUUCAGUAUCUUACCAUUACUCGUCCUGAAAUUUCUUUUGCUGUCCAACAAGUUUGUCUCUAUAUGCAUGAUCCUCGCAUACCUCACUAUAAUCAUAUCAAGCGCAUCCUUCGGUAUCUAAAAGGUACUCUCGAUCAUGGUCUCCACAUAAACAAUUCUUCCCCUACCUCUCUCACCGCGUAUUCUGAUGCAGACUGGGCUGGUUGUCCCGACACUCGACGAUCUACAUCCAGUUUCUAUGUUUUUCUUGGUGACAAUUUGAUUUCUUGGUCCUCAAAAAGGCAGGUAACGGUCUCCCGCUCAUCCGCUGAAGCAGAAUAUCGUGCGGUUGCACAUGCUGUGGCUGAUACGGUCUGGCUUCGUCAGUUGCUCUCGGAGUUGCAUCAACCGCUUGCACAUGCUACCAUUGUUUAUUGUGAUAACAUCUCAGCUGUUUACAUGUCCGGGAAUCCUGUUCAACAUCGCCGGACUAAACAUAUUGAGAUUGAUAUCCAUUUUGUUCGCGAGAAGGUGGCUCUUGGACAAGUUCGGGUGCUGCAUGUUCCUUCUACGGCUCAAUUUGCUGAUAUAUUUACCAAGGGACUGCCAUCAACAUCCUUUUGUAAUAUUCCAUCCAGUCUCAACGUUGUCGAGCCUCCCGUUGAUACUGUGGGGGAUGUUAGACUAUUACUUGGCUCUCAAGUUAUCUAGUCCUAGUCGUAUUGUAAUAGGUCUAGUUGGCUUGUAAUCUCUUAUAUAUACCGCUCUAUGCGGCUAGUAAUAAUCAUCAAUAAUAGUUCUAUUCAAUCUUACAUCCACGCCGACCCGCAUUUUGGCGGUUAUUUUGCGGGUCGGGGCUUUUCGCGGGGUCUAUUAGAGUUGCUCUAAGAGGGGUGGGAGUUGCCGGGUUGGACGGGGGGUGCGAGUCACCACAAAGAGCACAGACGAGCAAAAAAAACAAAUAAUCAAAGAGUUCUGCGUGGGGUUUGUUUUCUAAUGAGGUGGGCUGAUGUCAUACUUAUUAUUUAUAACACACUAUUAGAAUUUACAUAUAUUCUAUAAAUUUCUGGAAUAAAAGAGUGCAAAAUGGGAUGUAGGGACUGCAACCCAGUUAAUAGUCAAAGAAUAUAUAGCAGCAGCACCCAGUUAUUACAUAAAUUGCCUGAGGGUCAGGUGGUUAGCGUUGCGCUGCUACUAUUCACACGUCUGUACGCGUCCUUGCGCAUGCCAGUUUUUCAUUUAUUUGUGGGAGGCUGACAAGUGGACCCUUGCAGCGGUGGCAUAGUAUGUUUCGUGAGAUUUUUUUUUAUGUUUUUAUGCAAAAUAGCAGAUAGUAUUUUUCGUGAGGAUUUUUUUGCAAAAUAGCUGGCUACACGUCCACUUUGUCGUCCAGUCACUGACAGCAGGCCCCAUGCCAUGUUGGCAUGCGUAAUCAGCACUCUGUUCGUAUAGAAACAUGAUUUGCACCGUAUAUGCACGUUAAAGACAAGUUGUGGCACCAGUUCAAUGUAUGCCACAAGUUUUAGCUCUAAACUGACUUUUCGCGCCAAGUUAUGACAUUAGCGGUGUAAUUGACUCCUAGAUGUGACAUAUUUAGACACAUCCAUAAUAAAUACUUCCUCCGUAAAGAAAUAUAAGAGCAUUUAGAUCAUUAAAAGUAGCGAUCUAAACGCUCUUAUAUUUCUUUACAGAGGGAGUACCAACACUUUCAUCCACAGUAGCCCAUCUAUCUAACCGAUGUUCUUGUCAUCCUCCUUCCUGAGAAGAUGGAUUGCAAAAUAAGUUGGGCCAUCCUCCUUCCUGAGAAGAUGGAUUGCAAGUCUCCGAGUGACUUUGGCUCAAAUAAAUACUACCUCCGUACCAAAAUAUAAGAUGUUUUAGAGUCCAAUUUAAACUGCAAAAAAUGUCUUAUAUUUUGGUACGGAGACAGUACAUUUGAAGACAGAGUGACACAUCACAAUGAGAACUAGAUUCCUCCCCUUGAUUUCCUAGUACAGUGUAAGAAAAUAGCAGCAUAAUCAUAUCAUCUUAGCUGCACAACAAACAAGCUGCACAAACAAAUUCCUUCCCUUCAUUUCCUUGUGCCCGACUGGUUCCAUUCAUGCCACAUGGGGAAGGCAUACAGCAACAUCACAAUCUCUGACAGUCAUAAUUAACCUACUGAUUGUGCAGAAAUCAAAUGUUUAUUACUGCUCUUGCUACCUUACCUGACAGCCGCACCGAUCAUUGUCAGAUCAAGCCACGCAAAAUAAACUCCAUGUUAAUUUUAGAUGACCACAGUACGGACAGUCAUAGUCACAAGUACCCUAUUGGUGAUCAACCUGUGGUCAACUGUCCAGUACGUCACAGCAUAACCUCAAUCAGCAUCAUCCCCAGUCCUUGAUACUCCAGCCUGACCUCCAGCAUUCGCAUCAUCAUUAGUUCUCUCGACGUGGGGGCUACCUAUGGGCUCUUCAGCCUGCAACGUCUCCUCACCUUGUUCCAACAUCUCCUUCUCAUCAUCUUCCUGAGUACCUGCCCAAAUUAUGCAAUACAUAGCCAGAGAUGUAAAUAUGUAAAAAUAAAGAGAUGAGUCAUAAAAGAACUUAAGAGACAUAAAAAGUAAUGGUAGCUUCGUGUUGCACGAAUUGAAAUUUUACCACAUAAGUGGACAACAUAAGUCCCGCUUUUGACUGGAAUAAGGUGAAACAGACCAAAGACGAAGUGUGGUAGCAGUGUCCUUUAACUUGUAUGCCUUCUACAUCAGGUAGCCCGUAAAUAUAAAAAUAAUUAUCGUGAUCUAGUGUUUUUUACGAUUUCAAGAUGCCUCCAAGAUGCUACUUGUACUGAGCACAAACUUUUAUUUUACUUCUCUGAUCACCUUAGAGUUUUGCAACUACAACAAAAUAAUAAAAAAACAC
RNAcentral lists this long non-coding RNA (65258 nucleotides) under Triticum aestivum (bread wheat). RNAcentral's name for it is "long non-coding RNA (TAES_LNC019486)". The stretch from base 55933 to 56019 matches the Rfam family "MIR1120/MIR1122 microRNA precursor family". The record is from RNAcentral. Lineage: Eukaryota; Viridiplantae; Streptophyta; Magnoliopsida; Poales; Poaceae.